RNAcentral lists this long non-coding RNA (55917 nucleotides) under Malus domestica (apple). RNAcentral describes it as "long non-coding RNA (MDOM_LNC007845)". The stretch from base 12378 to 12449 matches the Rfam family "tRNA". Lineage: Eukaryota; Viridiplantae; Streptophyta; Magnoliopsida; Rosales; Rosaceae. The record is from RNAcentral.
GUGAACUUUGUUUACCGGACUUAGCGGGUGUCUGCGGACAUCUUCACAAUCCAGAAGGAAGACCGCGUACAUUAAUUGUUACAGAGUUUGAACUCGACAUCGAUGGUCGUCGAGGUCGAGAUUACGAGAAGCUCAAAAGAGAUUUUAUUGAACAGGAACAAGGCUUUUGGAUGAACCCCUUAUAUUUACAAUGUCAAUACAUCACAGCAACCCCAACUCCACAACUCUAAAAAUUCCUUUCUAUUUGAUCUCAAAUCAAACCAAACUAAACCUAACGAUUAUCCAAAUUUCAACAGUAACAUCAAACCGUUGGCCGCUAAAUGAAAAAUUAUCUUUUUUUCCCUACGAGUAGUUGUCUACUAAUAUUUCGAGGUGUGCUUGAUUGAGCUUUCCUGAGAGUAAUUUAAUAAACAUUUGAUAGGUAAAAAUUACAGCUGAUCAAACCCAAAUCCUUUUCGUCAACUUCAUCUGUUUUUCUGUUAAGUAGAGAUAAUAAACUUAAAAUUCAUCCCACAACCUAAAAAAUGGAAAGAAAAAAAAGGAGGUGGAUUUAAAAAAUCCUUCCUAUGCCCCCUAUAUUUAACAGAAAAAUAAAUUGAGUUAACUGAUAUAAUUGAAGUACCAUAUGAGAUUGAGAACCACAAUAAGAGAAAAAGAAAAACUAUUCUAGAAUGAAGGUAAAAUUCAUGACAACAAUGCCGGAUAUCUCAAAAAUAGUUCAAGCAGAUUAAGAUGUUAGCACAAAGUCGUUUAUCUCGUUUAUUGAACAAACAACGAGGACAACAAUGUCGUUUUCUCUCUUUCGAAAUUCAUAAACAACAAAAUUGAAAAUUCUUUCACAAAAAUUACCAUAAAUUUUGACAGAAUUGGCGGUUAAAUUAUAAGUCUAACAGGCAAAUCGAAAACAAUCACAAGAUCUUAGGACAUACAUACCACAUCAACAUUUAGCAAGCAGUCCAUAAGAAAUUGCAAUCAAGAUAAAACCUUUCAACAGUUUAUUAAAUUUCUCCUUUCAUAUAAGAGCAUGGUUCGGAGGAUUAGAGUGCGUUUCAGCAACCAUCUAUAUAACAUAUAGUAUCGAGCUCCAAUUGCCACUGCUCCAACCACGGCAAAAGCUACGAGAACAGCGAUUUCGUCCAAUGAAAAUCUCCUCAAAAGCAGUGGGCAAGACCAAAGACAUAGGAAUGACGUUGCUACAACUGCAAUCAAUAAUACAAUCCUCCAAAUCUUUCUUAUCACAGUAGGCUUAUCAAGCAAUAUCGGCACAUCAUCAGGAAUGACGUUGCUACAACUGCAAUCAAUAAUACAUAAUAUUCAAACUCCUUCAUCGAUCCCAAUACGAUAAAUUUAAAAUUGUUAUGAUCCGGAUAUUACCUAUAUUUUCUUAUGAUUCCAUAUGAAUCUGGGAUGUAGAUCGUGAGUGUUCCAGCAUAAUUGUGGCCUCCAAUAUGAUAGCAAGCAGUAACAAAUACCUGAUUCGUCAAUCCUUCAGCCUCCUUUUUGAACUGAUCAAUGAGAAUACGUGCCGAAACACGAUGGCCUUCAUGUCGACCAUUAGUUGCACAUACAAAUACAUGGGAGCCACUCAACAGCUCUUGCACUCCGGAAGCCCAUGGUUUGUGAUUCACAAGGACAUCUUCAACAAAGAUGUCCACAUCCGACUCUUUCAAGCCCCUUUGAUCAACAAACAAAAACAACCUCAGAAUCACAAAAAGGGAAUUAGUCGUAAACUAAGCCGUUAAAUUCAAUUUAUAGAACUAAUUUCAGAAGCUAAAACAUAUCUAAUUAACUAUUUAAUUCAGUACAUUCAGCACAAUCUCGUAAUCAAAAGAGAAUUUAAAACAGAAAUUACUUCAGUCUAAACUAGGAAUGGGCCUUCGAUUAUGAAUUAAUUACGGUUUGCCAUUGGGUGUCUUGGUGUGGGCCGUGCUUAACAGUUGGGUUGGGCUGCUGCAUUUAGGCCCAGGGUGUAGUUCUCACGCGUUUUUCUUUAAAAUUUUCUUUAUUUCUUUAUUUCUUUAUUUCUCAUCCUUUAAACUUUGUAUUUUCUUUAAAAUAUUUUUCUUUUUGGUGAUGCAGCAGAUAGAUGAACAUGUUCAAAGGGAAAUCAUGAACCACAGAUCACUGCAUCCGAAUAUCGUUUGAUUCAAAGAGGUCAGUGAUCAUAAACUAUUUUCAUUUUGUAUUUUAAGAAUGAAUUUGGCAAGUUCUGUUUGAAUUUUGUGUAAGUAUCUGCUGAGGGUGGGUGGAUGAAGACAGAACACACUACAUUUGGCCUCUGGUGUGCUUAAACUGGUACGGGGGAUGGCUAGACUUUGAGCCUGGGAUGCAGUAGGACUAAGAGAAAUGCCCUACCCACCGGGGCAAUCCACCACUUGCAGAAUUGUUGUCAAAAUAACUCUGCUAAAAAUAUGAGCUAUACUUCCUGCACUUCGUUUUUAAUGUGAAGUGGAAAUAGUCUUUAGAGUGGCUUAUAUGAGAUAAUUGAUAGAGGUUUGUGUUUAAGACUUGAGAGUAGCGCGGUGUCUUUCUUGCUGGUUCUGCUCACACCACCUCAUCUAGCCAUUGUGAUGGAGUACACGGUUUGGUGAGAACUCUUCGAGAGAAUAUGCAGUGUUGGCAGAUUUAGCGAGGAUGAGAUAAAGUAGUUUCAAAUGCAGAGAAAAUUUCGUUGGAAGUGAUUUUAGUGUAGAGUCUCAAAUAUGGGAUCUCUGAAUGUCCCCUGAAAUGGAAUCCAUCUCGAUUUUCGUUUAGUUUCAUAUGGGAAAAGUUAGGUCUGAAGCAUUUUUACAGUCAGUCAUGACUCAUAAUAUAACUAAAACUUACUUUUUCGAUUUAAUUGUUGUUUUGCAUCAGGCAAGGUUUUUCUUCCAGCAGUUGAUAACAGGAGUUAGUUGUCAUUUGAUGGUCUGUAAUUUGGCACUUGUAGCAAGGAAAUAAUUCGUUUCAAUAGUAUACGACUUAGUUUUAAUAGUAUAUGACUCAGUUUUUGAAUAGCACUUGGAUGGUUUUCGAAUAACGGUAUUACGACUUAGUUUUCUCAAUGCUUAGUUUUCUAAAUGCCAAUAACAGCUCUAGAUUUUGUCUUAGUUUUCUAAAUGCCAAUAACAGCUAUAAAUUUUGUCUCAAGUGGAGUAUUCUUACUAAUGUAGCAUUUUGUUGACACAUCAGUAUGUUUUUUUUUAUUGUUUCUCUGCUUGAACAGAGAAUUGUUAGCGUCCGGGUGGGAACGUGGGUCGACUCAUUUUUUUAGUCUCUCCGUCGUAAGCAGUUUUAGAUGGCAUUCUUCAAUGUAGCUAUAGGUAAGACAACACUCUCAGUAUUCCAUAAUCAAACCACCUUGUGAUUUUUUUUAUCCACCAAGUUAAGCUUUUAUGUGCCAUCUUGAAUAGUUAUAAGUUAUUGCUCCAGAUUACUCCAGUGCGACAUUGUUGUUCUCUUCCUUACCUCUUAAGCUUGCUUAAUAUACUUAAUUCUUAUUACUGUUGUAAAAGGUCGUACCCAAUGCACAAGGCUCCCGCUUUACGUAGGGUCUGGGAGAGGUAAAUGUCGGCUAGCCUUACCCCCAUUUAUGGAGAGGCUGCUCCCGAUCUUAUUACUGUUGUAUUGUUAAGAAAUACUCAAUUGCGGUUUCAGUUCAUCGUUAUGAAUCGGAUUAAAAUUAACCACUCAUUGGUUAAUUAUCUAAAUCCUAUAAAUUCGGAUUAAUAUUAAAGCAACUACAAAACAAAAAGCUCAAGAAAUCAAUGCGAAUUUACCUGUAUUUGAUCAUUUGUGGGAAAAUCAACACAUCGCCGUCCGAAAACUCAGUUCCUUCGUGUCCUUCAAUUACUGUCAGCAACGUCUAUCAAAAACCAAGAAAAAAGUGAGUAAUGAAGUCAACUCAUCUGAAAACCAGAACUCAAUAGCUCCAGGAAAUAAGAAGCACUGAGAAAAAGCAAUCAGAAAUGGUGAUGAAUUGAGCUGGAAAAUGAACCUUAACGAUGAUGUCGUUCUUGCGAGCUUCGAGAGCAGAUGCGAAGAACUUAGGGAGAGGAUCGGACUCAGAGCCUUCGAUGCGCCAUGGCCAGGCCUCGGGGGUCUUGUAGCAGAGGAAAAUAUGUUGUGUAUCGUCAAGAGUGUCUACACAAGACUCAUAUGGCAUAGUCACAUAGUUGUCCCAAUUAGUACCACCAUCAGACAAAUCCCAUUUUACAAUAUCCACUCCUAUUUUGUUCACCGUAAUUCUAUUAUCUUGUCCACAAAAUUGUGCUUGUACAAGAACCGUGUCGCCGCCUUUUAGAUUGAGCUUCUUGUUUGAAAGAUUUCCCAACCAAAGACGAUAUUCAGGGGAAGCAAUCACGGUGUCCUCCAGUGGUCGGUUGCGUCGGAUGCAUAGGAUGCGAUGGGAAGCAAUUACGGUGGCCUCCAUUGGUCGGAUGCGAAAAUAAGUUCGCUGGGUAGAAUUAAUAACAUGAAUUUGUAGAGAACCAGUAGAGUAGUAGAAGUCUGAAGAAUAAACGAUGCCCAAAGCCAACCCUCCUAUAUAAUCAAUACUUGGCGGCACUUCAAAUUUGACAGUUACAUCCUUUCUCGCGACAUAGGCUAACCGGUUAGGAAUAUCAUUUCCAGAGAGAAAAAUUCCACCAAAUGCAUUUUUCUACAACAUGGGGUGCAAAGUCAGUAUAAGCAACAAUAUAAAAAGCAGAGAGAGAGAGAGAGAGAGAGAGAGAGAGACAGAGAGACAGAGAGAACCAUACCGUUUGGAGGUUCUCCUUGAAAGUAGCAGUGAGACUGGUACACCCUUCCAUAUGAAGUGAAUCCAUGUAGUCCAAUGAGUUCUCCAAGUUUGGAAUAUCUUUGAGUUUGCGGCAGUCUUUCAGUUCCAAUACCCUCAUUUUCGACAUCUCUGAAAAGUCAGACAUUAUUUCCAGUGCAGUGCAGUAAUUCGCUUGCAGUACACACAAACUGUUUGGCAAAUCUGGGAUUGCCUUAAGGUUUGUGCAAUUAUUUAGACGUAAAACCUGAAGCUGAGAAAGGCCACUGAGAAUGGGUAGCCAAUUAAAACCAUUCCCACAUAGAACUAAAACUGUUAAAGAAGAUAGACUCCCAAUUGUUUUGAGAACGGCACCAUCUGUUAUAUUGCAGUCGCUGAGAUAUAAUUCCUCAAUCAUCUUCAGUUGUGCUAAAAAAUGGUAACCCCCACACAAACCCUUACAGCCAUUGAGGUCCAAUGCCUUGAGAUGUUGGAGUUUUGAAAAGUCUGGUAAUUCAGUCAAGUUAUGGCAGUCAUUAAGUAUGAGAUACUUCAACUCCUUAGGCAACUGUUACUCAAAAAGAGAAAACAACAAUAAAAAUCCAAAUAAAUAAAAGAGAGAAUGCAUGACGAUGACUGAUGUUGAUAUUUACAAGGACAUUGAUAAUUAUAUCGUACCAGCUUCGAAUCCUCCCAAACUCGUACCAUCUUGCUGUUGCUCAGGUUUAAACAAACUAGGUUUCGUUGAUCAAAAUUUGCUGGUAUGGCUUCAAGAGGAAAUCCAUCCCAAAUCAACAAUCUUAACUCCUUGGAAAGAUGUUUGUAGCUUCCAGUCAGCUUUACAUUUAUCAGGUGGAGAAAUUUCAGACGCCACAUCUUCUUAAACGCUUCUGUACGGAAGCUUUGCUUGUCAUCAGAAUCUCCUGUGUGUAGUCCUUCUACUGCUUCUGUUCCCUGUUAGAGAGAGAGAGAGAGAGAGCAAAAAAAAAUAAGAAAAGGAUAAUAUUCACAUGAAGCAGAGCCGUGAAUUGGAUGAGUGAACUACUAGAAAGGUAGGGCAUACAACAUAAUUAUGUAUUUUCUCUUUGGAAUUACAGUGGAUGAAAUCCUUUUCUUUUCUUUUUCUUUUUUCGUAAAAUAUAUUAUGUACGACAUACAUCAUAUAUAUGCGGAUAUCCGUAUGUACUUCUCUUUCUUUACAUGUACUUAACAUAAUAUCUUUUUAUUGUAAAAGUACUUACCGAUUCAUUAUUGAGCACGCUUUUUGCAUCUUUAAUAUUCCACAAUCGACUACGUUUUCCCUCCAUAGGAGAUUCUGCACGCACAAUUUCUCUUCCCAUAUCUCGAAUCAAAUCAUGCAUCUUCAAUGUUUUAUAUGUUUUAUUUUCAAUAUAUAAGAGACAUCGUUUGCAGAGUAUGGCAAUUUCUGCUUCUACAGAAAAAUGAUUACAACCAUCCAAUAUUGCCGUGACCACAUGUACAGGCAGUCCAAUAAAGAAAUUAGAUAUGUCAAGGAACACACCCUUCACAUGAUCAUCACAUAGUCCAUCGUAGCUUAAUUUAAGCGUUUCAUGAAUUUUUCCAUUUGGAAUAUUUCUCAAUUUAUCCAAUGUACCUUCCCAUAUGGUUUUACUCUCUUCCGUAGCCAACAAACGACCAACAACUUUAAGAGCUAGGGGCAAUCCUCCACAAUAAUCAACAAUAUCUCUUGCCAAUUCAAUAUAUUCGUUAUAUUUUUUAUCGAGAUAAUCAUUUCCAAAGGCAUGCCAACUAAAGAGCUCAAGAGCUUCUUUCUUUGUCAUUGCUUGUGCCUUAUAUUUUUUAUCCACCUUUUGUAUAUUCAGCACUUGCUCAUCUCUUGUUAUUAUAAUAAUUCUGCUCCCUGGACCAAACGAUUCAUGUUUUAUUGCCAAUUUAUCUAACUGGUCUGCAUCAUCUAUGUCAUCAACCACGACAAGUACCUUUAUCCUUCCAAGUCUUUUCAUGAUCUCUUUGGUCCCUUCGGCAACACUGCUUAUCUUAAUGUCAGGCUGUUUUAAAAUAUCUCGAAGAAGUUGUUCUUGCAGACACACCAUCUCUUUCUUUUUACUCCUCACAUCUUCAAGGUAACAUUGACGACUAAAACUCUGCUCAUAAUUGCUACAAACUGCUCUGGCAAGUGUUGUUUUACCUAUACCGCCCAUACCAUAAAUUCCAAUUAUUCGAACAUUAGGUGAACCUCCAACGUCUAAGUAUUCAGUACUGAAUUCUUGCACGCGAAAAGCCAUUCCAACUGAGUGCUUGUCUUCUUUAAAGUCUAUGGUUUUCAGCCGUCCCUUGACGUCCCCAACAAUUUUCUCGAUAAACACCCAUUCACACCUACGAGUAGAAAUUCCAAAUUACAAGAGCCAUACUAAAUGCCUUAUUCAUAAUGACUAGAUAUUUACAUGUUGAAACAGAUUUGAAUAAACUGGAUUAAUUGAGCUCAAUUCAACCACGUAUCUAAUCUUUAAUUAUAAUGUGAAUACAUUAGAUCACUGGUGAUUGGACUAUUAUGCAAUUGUAGCUUUCAGUAAUAUAAUUAAGAAUCCAUUAGAAUUGGUAUUUUAAUUUGAUAAAAUGUGGAGCAUUUGUCCUUCACACACCCAUAAAAAACAAAGCAUGUACCUUGCGUUUCACUUCCUUAAUGUCGACGAAAAUUCUUAUGCAAAUGCUCUACCUUUUAUAUAAUUCAAGAUCCUUGGUAUUAAUAAUAUCAUUAAUUAUUUUCAAUAAUAAAAUAUUUUUUAUUUUUAAAUAUAUUCAUUUAACGUUAAAAAUGUUACAAUUAGUAUAUUUAUAUUUAUGGCUAAAUUUUUUAUCAUAUAUUUUUAUUUUUAGUUUGUACCUUUUUUUAAUUUGCAACCGUUUUUUAAUUUGUAUCAAUUUUCUUUUCAGUUUUAAUUUGUACCCAUAUAUUAAUUUCUUUUUGUAUCCAUAUUUUAUAAAGUUUUAUUUGUAUUUGUACCCAUAUUUUUUUUAUUUAUUUCUACCCAUUUUUAAUUUUGCUAAAUGUACCCAUGCUAAUUAUAUGCACCAUUCAUGUAUAAUUUUUUUCAAAUUUUUAAUCUUAAAAUGUACUCAUUCUUAAAUAUACCAAUUCGUUAUAUGUAAAAUGUACCAUUUUUUAAUAUAAAAUCUAUUCAAUUUUUUUCUAAUUCAUUUUUAAACUUAUAUGGGUACAUUCUUUUUUCUUUGAUUUGAGAAUGUAUCCAUGUUGAGUUUAAUUGAAGAAAUUUACUAAUUUUAUUAAGCUUAAUAUCUUUUUUUUUGGUGAUUUUGAAGAAUGUACCCAUGUUUAUAUAUAUAUAUACACACACACACAUACACACACAAUAGUAUAUUUAUAUUUUAAUAUUUUUAAUCCCACAAAUUAUGGUUUUUUAUUUAAAAUCUCAUUAAUAUAAACAACUAUAAAUUUCAAUUUUUAAUUUAAAAAAAUAUAGCAACGUCAUAAAAAUAAAUUACCACAUUAAUUUCAGGGUCUUAGAUAAAAAAUUGAAAACCAACAAAAUUUUAGUCAAAGAAUAUUCAUAGGUAGGGACCGCAUCCAAAGUCUCUUUGUACGAAUUGUAAUAAAUUUUUAUGUAGGGGCCAAAAUUACAGUUCUAUCAUAGAUCAAAGAUCAACAAUCCAAUUUUUCUCAUCACAUGUAAAAUCAGAUUCAAUGCCUUAAUUAUAAUAUCUUAAUUUUGGUUGAUUAGUGAAAUACGAUGAUACGAAAAUUGAAGUAGACAAAAAAAAAAAAAUACCCGUCGGCCGUGGUUUUGAGAUUCCAGCCGCUCAAAUCUGCAGAAGCCUUAAGAUCCUCUCUCCACUGCUUGACCUCGUUUGGAUCUUGAUCGCUUUCAUGCUUCCGAAAUGCUUCCUCAAAACUACCACCCUGUCUCCUGACUUCAGAAGGGUCAACGUCGUAGAAUAUUGGACACACUGUCUUCCCCUCUUGAUCUUCUCGGCACCUCAUGAUCUUCGACAGCUCCCUCAGGCACCAUCGGGACUCCGCGUACCUCUUCGAGAAGACGAUGACAGCGAUUCUUGACCCUUCGAUUUCUUGGUCUAGUUCUCUCUGUAUGUUUUCCCCCCUUGUGAGCUGGUCGUCCAUAAACGUGUUAACUCCGGCUUUGCAUAACGCACUGAAGAGGUGGCCUGUAAAGGUUUUGCGGGUGUCUUCACCUCUAAAGCUCAGGAACACUUCGUACUUCCAGCGGUUUGAGCUCCGCGAGGAAGACGAAGAGGCGGCAGCGGCGGCUCCAUGGGCGGAGCUGCUGGUAUCCAUUGCAGCCUGUAGAAGUGCAGUUUGGCUUUCAAAUAACCAAAGUCAAGUAUUUCCCCAGAUUCCCAGUCUCGGUGGCCCUUAUAAAUUUGUCACUGCCGUCCAUAACGCGUGAGUGUUUUCCCCCCACAGUUUAAUUUGUAUAAAUGUUACCAUCAAAUUUAAAAAAAUAAAUAAAAAAAUGUCUAACUUCUUUACGAUGCAAUUUCCUUUUGUAGUUUUCUGAGAAAUCUGCCGCCCAACUUUGGCCAGUUAACGACCUUGUUGUAUUUUAACUUUAAGGGUGGUGCGCAGGCCGGUGGACGUAAGAACGUAAGAAUCAAUGGGAAGAGACCUCAUCUCAUUAUUCUGAAUCUGAUUGCCGUUUUCUUGGCGCUUCUCCUCAAUUUUCUUACUUUCUCCUCCAUUUGGAAGCUUCUGGUCAUUAAUUUUUUUCAGCUUCAUCCGAAGAUGCUCCCAUUUGGCCCCUGUAAGGAAUGAAAUUGAAUUUCGUGUUCAGCCAUUUAAAGAUUCAACUCUAUGUUUCAUCAAUACCAAUCAAGUAAGGACAGGUAUGAUCAAGCUUAAUAAACAAUUUGACAACAGUGCCCACUUGACCCUGUCCCUCCCUUCCCCAAAACCACCUCUGGUUUGGUUUAUCUAUAAAAAAAGAGUUGUUUGAUUUGGUUCAUACGAGUUGUUUGAUUUGGUUCCUCAAUGUUAAUGUAACUCCUUAUCAAUAAUCUAUCAUACAACACUAGUCCAAAACGACCAACAAGGAAAAUUUCAGAGUAAACAAGGAAAAUUUCAAGGUGUCAAUCAACUCGACAACUAGUCCAAAACAGACUAAAUUAGCUCAAUUCGAGACUUCUUAAAUUGAAAUGGGAAAAUCAUAAACUCAUCAAUAAACAUGUGUGGCUGUGAGUUUCCAACGCCACACUUAGCUGCUAAGUGUUCUAAGAGUUCACCAUCAGAUGGAUCGAACUUCACACCAAGUGGUAAGCCAGGCCAUUCCGAUAAAACCUACACAAGUGGAGUUGCAGAAGUACUUAAAUGAAUAAAAAGCUUAACCUAUAAGCUGAAAGUUUUGGACAACAUAUAAUCAUUUGCAUAUGAAUAGAACUAAAAACCCAGCUUACAUCACUGUUGUCUAUAACAAAAUGGCAAUUCGGGCAUUCACGAUUUGCCCCACAGUCUUUGAUUGGACACGCAGACGAUUGAGAAGCAUUCUUCACUUUGUUUGCAAGUCCUCUGCUGUUAAUCAGCCAAGCCCUACAGAAACAUUACACCAUAAGCCACAAAAUUUCAUCACAGAAGCAAUUUUAUCUAGAAUCUAAAGAAGCUAUGACCAACAGAAAAAACAACCGAACCCAAAUUAUCAUCCAUUUCACAUUCCCAGUACAAUUGAAGAGGGCGAAAACUGAAAUGGGUUUCUCAGGAAAAACACACAAAUUCACAAGAGAAUUAACAAAAACGCUGAAUCAAAUAUCAAUCAAGCAUCCGUAUAGUCAUAUUUAACUACAGAAAGUAAAAUUAAAUAUCAAUCAAGCAUCCGUAAUGAAUCAAAUAUCAUUACACAUUACAGAGCUAGAUUGAAUAUUCCUGUUUAAUGGGUUCCCCCCAAAAUUAAAAUUUAAAUACAAAUCUAGCAUCUGAACACUUCAAAAAGCAAACAACUUUCGAAACAGUAUUUUCAUCCGAAUAAAACCCAGAGACCAAAAACUAAACAAGAAUAAAUUAUAUGGGUUGACGAAGCUGGGAAAAUCUGUAUAGAGGUUUCUCAGCUCCCAAUCAAAAGAAAGUUUCCAGAAUUUCGUUUAUUAUUUUUUAAUAAUUGCUAUAUUAAAUAAUUAUAUUGUCCGCCCAUAUUUUCAAAUUGAGUAAAUUGUAGCUAUGGUCCCUGAACUUUACUCAAAUUGGAGCAAUGGUCCUUCAACUAAAAAUCCAUUACCAUUGGUCCUUCAACUCAUUAAAACGUGCAGCUAUGGUCCCUCAACUAAAAAUCCAUUACCUUGGUCCCUUAAUUUUAAUUCAACUGGAGAAAUGGUCCCUUAACUUUAUCCCAAUUGUAGCUAUGGUCCUUCAAACAUAACUCGGUUUGACAAAUUUUUUUAAGUAGUUGACGAAAAUGACCAUAAUUACACACUUUGAUGAGUUGAGGGACCCUAAUUAAAUAAAUGGUUAUUCCAACAUAACAUAUUUUGACAAAAUUUUGAAGAAAUUAAUGAAAAGGACUAUAGCUACAUAUUUUGAUAAGUUGAGGGACCAAUGGUAAUGGAUUUUUAGUUGAGGGACUAUUACUCCAAUUUGAGUAAAGUUCAGGGAUCAUUGCUACAAUUUACUCUUUCAAAUUUUCAUCACUGACGAGUGAAAGGGCUCUCACCUUGCCAUUUCUUCGAGGUCGGAGACGAUGUUUCAACCAAGCGCAUUCCGAUUUAUAGAUAGAGAGAGAGAGAGAGAGAGAGAGAGGGAGGGAGGGAGAGGGGUCCCUUUCUGCACUGGAUUAAGUUAAGAGCAACUCCACCCAUAGAGCCCUCCCCCUGGCAAUCCACUAUUCAAUCCACCCUAUUGAACAGUAACUGCCUUAAAUGAAUAGUAAUUACCAUUAAUGAACAGUAAUUGCCAUUUACAUCUCCACCCUUGGAACCCUCUCCCCUGGCAAUAAGCAAUAAAAAUAAUAGUUUUUUAUGUUUGUUUAAAUAAUAAAAAAUUACAAAAGCUAUAUAUAUCUCUCUCUCUCUCACACAAAAAAAAUACAAAAAUACAAAACCCUCGGGCCACAGGCCCGUCGACUCCCCACCCCCCUUUCACUCGACCUCCCACCCUCACUCGGGCCCUUCCUCGCUGGAUUUGCUCCCACCGGCCCGAGGGCCCUUUCUCCUCGCCUGACGCCCGAGCAACCAGCAAGGCUGGAGUUGCUCUAAAGUAGCUAGAGACAGAGUGCGUGUGUGUGAGCGGGAAAAUCCAGCUUCGGACCCAACGAGCCGUUACCUACAAGCCUCAGGUUCGGGUACAGAGUCUUUGGUCGAUAAGAAGGCGGACCCACCGCCAUAGGCUGUCUCAGUGGGGUCUGGGGUUGACGAAACCUAAGUCCGAGGCUGAGGUUCGGAGAGAACGAAGGUGUCCUGUCGUGCUUUUGGUGGGGGUUCGAACACCGAGUAAAGUGUAAUUAUGGUAUUUUUUCUGUCGGACUUGCUGACUGACUACCGUGCUCCCCAAGCUACAUACAGAAACGUUUUGGAGACUUUUGUGGAUUCUCGAUUUUGCCCCUCGAUAUUGAUGUGACUCGACUGUUUGUCUUGGGCAGAAAGUAGGCUUGGUAAAUAUAAUAACAUAUAUAUAUAUAUAUAUAUUUAAUGAGAGACAUCAACUGUCGUUGUAGUAUAGUGGUAAGUAUUCCCGCCUGUCACGCGGGUGACCCGGGUUCGAUCCCCGGCAACGGCGAUUUUUUGAGCUUUUCUCCUUCCUUUUAUUUUUUAAUUUUUUAUUUUUACAUAACUUUUGGUUUGUAAACUUUGUGUACUGGAUUUAAAGGGUAUCUGCGGUCAUCUUCACAGUCCGGAAGGAAGACCACGUCCAUUAUUUGUAAGAGAGUUUGAACUCGACAUCGAUGGUUGAGAUCGAGAUUACGAAAUGCUCAGAAGAGAUUUUAUUGAACAGGAGCGAAGGCUUUUGGAUGAACCCCUUAAUUUUACAACGUCAAUACAUCACAGCAACCCAACUCCACAACUCUUAAAAAUUCCUUUCCAUUUGAUCUCAAUCAAACCAAACUAAACCUAACGACUAUCCGAAUUUCAACAGUAACAUCAGACCGUAGGCCGCUAAAUGAAAAAUUACUUUUUUUCCCUACAAGUAGUUGUCUACUAAUAUUUCGGGGGGUGCCUUAUUGAGCUUUCCUAAGAGAGUAAUUAGUAAACAUUUGGAAGGUAAAGAUUACAGCUUGCAGGAUCAAUAACACUGGCUAAAGCAGGAGAAAAAACCUUUAGGUUUGUCUUCCAUGUGCGUGUUGGAUUUAGGGGUUUCACCCGAGUCGUUGUGAGUAACCAUCAAAGAACUAGUACCAGGCGACUCUGGUGGGAGUACAGCGUUCUCAGAUUUGAAUAUCCGUUGAGGGAUAGCGGGUGCUGGUGCCGAAAUAGUAGAGAGGUAACGCAGCAGCAUCUGUAUAAUUUGGGUGAAGUUGGGCCGGUCAUUGGGAUCCUCUUUCCAACAUGAAGUUACAAUCAACGCCAAAUCCUUGGGGAGGCUAUCAGCACUCGGCCUCACAUUCUGAAACAAUUCGUAUAACCUCAUAUUACGAAGCUUAAAAAGUACCAAGUUAUGAAUAAGAUUAUUGUGGUAUUUUGUUACCUUAAAAGCAGCUGCAUACGCAGCUUGUAAAUUCGACAUGCCUUCGAAAGGCAGCUUGUUAUGGAUGAGUUCCCACAAUACAAUUGCAAAGCUGUAAGCGUCCACCUUAUGAUUGUAAUGCUUCUUUUCUCCAUGUCGUAAUGUAACUGUGCUGUAAAGCUGCCACCAAAUACAAAGGUGGAAGAUUAAUUUGCUGAUACCAAACAAAAAUUAAUUUGCUGAUAUCAAACACACUCACAAGACAUAUGAGAAACAAAUUCUCAACCUUUGAAUGACCGAGUUAAGUACCGUACCUCAGGAGCCAUCCACCGGUAUGUCCCAGUUUCGGCGGUCAUCAUCUCUGUCAAUGACUCUUCUCUUGCUAAGCCAAAGUCUGCAAGUUUGACUGUUUUUUGGUCGGCAGUCAAGAUCAGAUUCUCUGGGAAAAGGACAGGAUAAAAGUGUAAGAUUGUGGAACAAACCCUGUUUUCGGAAAUAAGCUUCGCCCUAACAAUAGUUGCAAUUCGUUUUGUGAUGCUGAAGUUAUCUCUGCUACGGAAGUCUUCAAUCAUGCUGAAUACUAAACUAUCAGCGACUAACACUAAAUAGCAAUCCUUCGGAUUUCCAUAUUUGAGACAUGCUUACACAUAGACUUCACUUUAAUCCUUCUCGGUUCUUCUAUGUAGGCGUUCCCUUCUUGACUCUCCUAACGUCGAGCUAAGUGACUUCGUUCAAAGGUCAACCCUUAUGUUAAACAAUGAACUAAACCACAUACCAGGUUUCAGGUCACAGUGAAUGAUACCGUGGGAGUGUAAGCACUCCAUAGCACGAGCAAUAUCAAGCGCAAACCCAACUGCCAUGCACGUGUCCAAGCACCUUGGCCGCAUACUGAACAAGUAUUUGCGCAAAGUUCCGCCUAGAAGAAGCUCAGUCACUAUGACCAUGACAGGUUCUUUGCAGGCACCAAUGAACUGGUAAUACAAAGUUAAAAAUCCCCCAUCAGAUAUCGCAAAUACGCCUAUUUAGUAAUCAAAAAUACUUAUCGAAAACUAGACAACAACCUUCACUAAGUUUUUGUGCUGCACUUUCGACAUCAUUGCCACUUCCCUCGCAAACCGCGCUUCUCUCUUGGCAAUCUCCUCGAUGAACAAUUUUUACAGCAACAUUUUGAUUCUUAUAUCUAGAACAAACAAAACACAACAAACAAACAGAUUGACAACACAACAGAACAGAACAUCAUCGUUGUAACUCGACAAGAAAAACACAUAUUCGGCAUCGUAAACACCAUAAAUGCCCAACACCAAAGCAAGUUUUGAUCUUUGAUUAGUUCUGCUAAAACCCAACUCAAUUUUGCAUUUAUGUUUAACAAUAUACAAGAGAUAAUAAUAAAUUGCUAAACUUGAGAGACCAGAAAUUCAGAAUCUAAGACAAAACAAACACAGAGGUUGUACUGAGGUUGACUUACUUUCCUUCGUACACUUUGGCAAGCGCGCCUUCCCCAAUCCUCGGACCAACAAAAAGAUGCUUUGGAUCGAUCAGCCACUUGGCGUCCAAAUCGAAAUCCGCAACUGAGUAAACCCCAUUACCAGAUCCCAUAAUUUUCCCUCUCUAAACUUCUAAAACAAGAACAACAUACACUGACUAAUUAACCAAACAAAGGGUACCCUUUAUUUGUAGGACUACAUUUGAAGUAAAGAUGGAAGCUUUGGUCUGGAUAAAAAUGGAAAAAAAAGUAAUAAAGUAAGGAGACUUUGUAUGAUUGAAGAGGGAGAAAGAUGAAGACUUUCUAUUUCUAUAAUAAAAGGACAUGCUUGGUACUGUAGGUUUCGGAAAACAGACCCAUCCCCAGGAUCACGGUUGAGGAUCCUACAAAUCUAGGAUGUGCCUUUUGUUUGGGGGGCAAAGAAUAAAAACCCAGAGGCACCCACCAACAACCCUACAAUAUAAAAAUGGCCACUGAUGAAAGCUCUAUCAGUGGGAGUGGAUUAGAUUUAUUAUUGGGAAUUGGGGAGAGAGAGGAAAUCGGAAGAAGAGCAAGCAGAUAGAGUUGAGCAAGGCAGAGGAGGAUGAAACUGAGAGGAUCUAGAUGGAGAUUUGGGAACUUGGUGGCGGCGACGGUGGCGGUGGGUGAGUGGGAAGUGAGUUCAGUUGAGAUUAAUUUAUUGGCCUUCUCCGCGUGUGGAAUAUUAGGGCCCGUUUGUUUGACAGGAUUAGGGAGGACUGGACUGGACUAGACUACAGUCCCUUGUUUGGUCUGCACCAGGAUUAGGUUUAAUGGGAUUAGGUCUGACUCGCUAGGAUUAAACCCCUCACUAGGAGUUCUAAGCGAAGCACCCCGAUCACCCUCGGACUUGUAAGACCUCCUGCGCUCCUGCGAGAGAGAACCUCGCUCAACCUCGAUCCUCAACGUGCUCCCUCCUUGCCCUGCUCCCUCAUCGUCGUCCUCCUCAUCGUCGUCCUCUUCAUCAUCAUCUCUGCGUCUUGCUCGCCCUCAACUCCAUCCUGCUCGCCCUCAUCUGGUAAACUUCGUAUCCGACAUUAUAUUUUUUUUUGCAGAUCGUGAUAUUACUGGGCUUUAUUUGAUUUAGGUGUUUUGAGUUUGAGAAAUUUUGAAUUAUAGACCUCUGCACUUGAACAAAUUAGGUUUUUGAUUUUUAGGGUCAAAUUGAGAUUAGAAUUUGGGGUUUUCACAUUUUAUGCCAUUUUGAGUACCAAAAUGAUGAUAAUCAUCACGAAAUUGCUGCUGUAAACUUCGAACGCCACUGUUACUUUUUGGGUAUGUUUCUGUCCUACUUUUACCCAGUUUGAAUAUGUAUUCAUAGUUGUCGGAUUAAAACGUAUAUGUGGUUUUUGGGAAGUGAUGAGUAAAAUGGCUAGAAUUUUAGGAAGCUUUGCGCUUCUGGUUUUCAUCGGAUAGAGGGAACACGAAGAGGGAGAGGAAAAGAGAAAAUAUUAAGUUUAAUUGUAAAUUUUAAAUUUGUUUUUUAUAGUGUUAGUGGAGGAACCCAUCUGUAGUAUUUUAAGAGAAGAUGAGAAGAUGUAAACUGCUGGACAUCCUUAGCAUUUCCCAUGUUCUUUAUUAAUUUGAGAGUGAUCCUGUGAAUAAUUUUGGCUUUUAGAUUUGUUUGAAUCUUUUUCUGAUUCAACUUGCAGGUUUAGUAUCAUUUUACAGCUUUCUACAACUCUUUGUUCUUUCUCUCUUCCUUUAUGGUUAGACAGCAUCGAAUAUCUAUCAGUAAUCAUGUCCAGACUGACUGCGUUCAUACAACUUGUGCUGUUUAACUAAUGAAUAUAAUUUCGGAACUAAUAUGCCAUGCCUAGAUGAUUGAAGUGAGUAUCUUAGAUGAAUCAUCCAUGAUUGAUGUGAGUAUCUUAGAUGAAUCUAUCCACCUUGGGAACUUGCAAGAGUUGAGUUCAAGAUGUCCGGAUGCUUUUUCGUAUAUAACCAAGGUCUAAAACACAGCCUUAACCUUAUUCUUAAAAGGAGGUUUGUUUUUUGUAUGUCACUAAGUUAACUGCAUAAAUCCAAAUAUCAAGACCAAAACAAAUCAUAGGGUUACAUGAUUUCUUCCAAAUUAAUGCCAACAUAUUGUUCAGCAACGGGGAGAUUCUGGGGCCUUGCUUGACCAGCCACAUUAGAUAAAUCUCAAUACAAUCUAUGCAUGCAUGCUUAGUUGUAACCAGAUUCUUACCAGGCCACUGAUGGCGUAAUUUCAUUUGAAGAUUACAAUAAAUGAUAUAAGAUUUAAGGAAUUCACAAAAGUCAUGUGAAAAUAAAAGGUGCUGGAUUUCCCUUUGAAGGAUAUGAAAUUACUUGAUGUUAGAAUUGAGGUUUUACAGUUAGUCAGAGGUUUACGAUCAGAUCUGUAUAAUGUGUUUUAGCAUCCUUUUGUUGUUUGGCAAGCAAUUCACGUGCGUAGUUUCCGGUGUUUGUUUCAUAUUUAGAAGCUUGUUUUGAGUUCGAUGUCUCUAUUUUUUUUGUCGAAGAGUUCGAUGUCUGUAUAUCAUGUAGAAAAGUGAUUCCUUUUUUCUUUUGGAUGUCUGACCUUGUAAACUUCCGAAUCUAUUUUUCCGUAUUCUUCUUAUUGUUCUUCUAUCCCUAUCUAAAGCUUUAUCCCCAAACUGUUUCUUCAUUUGGACAGACCUAUGUAACUGUUGGUAAUAGAUUUCUGAUUUGUCUUUAGAAUUGCAUCCUAAGUGGUGGUUACAAGUUACGACUUCCCUGAUUGACUUCGUAUGAACAAAGUCAUGCGGAGUUUAACGAUUUUUCGUAUUGUAUAAUGCUUCACGUGGAUGUAUUAGUAUACCGUCAUGCUUUGGUAUCAUUCUCUAGUGUCAUAUUCUAACUAAAAGUAAAUGAUGUGGCCAAUUGCAUACUAGACAUACCUCGGAAUUGCUGGAAUGACCUCCUUGCAGCUUACAGGGGAUGUGGAGGGAGAGUCCAUGUUAGAUACGUUGUUAGUGAUAUGCAUGCAGACUUCAUCCAGACUGAAUGUGACUGCUUAACCUUGGUUGCUUCCACCCUUCCACUUACACUUAGGUCAAUGUGAUUUCUCCCACUUACCAUCGAAUCGAAUUGAAAUUUUAAUGCUUUAUGCAUGGAUACUAGACAAAGGCAUAAACAGUGGCACUGAUGGAUUUGCUAUGCUCUUCACUUGAAAUUGGUGUGCGUGAUCUUCUAGCAAUAACUUAUGAACAAUUGGUAUUUGUGAAUAAUUUUUGAAUUGCAGAUGCUUGUCAUUUACUGAUAGAUAAUCAAAAGAAGGGUGACAUUUGAUAGUCUAUUUCCAAUUUGGAUGUCUAAUUAUCCAUCACGGAACUGUCAAGGGGCACUUGGCUGAUAACUUUCACAGUCCAAAGAUGGUCUGCGCUGAAAUGUCAGCUGCUUAGCCUCUCUCUCCAUCUGCUUCAUUAUGUUGUCCUCUUUGCCUGCAUGUUUAACGUACAAGCAGAGUACAAACAAGGGACUUUUAGAAAAGUUAACCCUUUCUUUAGCACAUUAAGGCCUUGUUUAAUUUGGUGGCAUAUUGGUUUGAUGUCCGUGUGUGUGUGUGUGUCUAUUCUGCACAUUUGUUUGAUGUCCGUGUGUGUGUGUAUUCUGCACAUUUGGUUAAACAGAGGUUUACGGUUAUCUACUUGGUUUAUAACCAUGAUAUUACAUUGUGAAUGUUUUGUACUGUGUGAUGUUGAUGCUGAAAUAUUAUGUGAUUGUUGGUUGCAGAGAAGAGGAGCAUAAACGGAAGGCUAAGGCUAAGGCUACUGGAUUUUGUAAAUUAUGGAGAUCUACUUUGGAAUGCUAUACUAUAGUUCACUGGCAUUUUGUAAAAUAUCCUGGAUGAAAGUUUAGUGAAUGAUGUUUUAAGAGUCAAUGCAAAGAUUGACUUGUCACAAGUAUCUUCUUAUGUACUUGUAUUUGUUGAAGUUGCAUGUAUUGGGCACUAUUCUUUUUCUUAUUUUGGGUGAUAGAGUUUAAAUCAAGUUACAUUUGCAAAUUAAACUCAACUAUUUAUAAAUAGUAUGUCCCAACUAUAGUAUGCCCCAAUUCUAUUAGCAGGUAAUAGAAACAAAACAAUUGUCCUCUUUUUUUAAGAUUCAUAAUAUACAUGGCAAAAAUAUGCUCCAAUUAACCCAUAUCAUGAGAUUUGUAGCAUUACUCUAUUACACAAUGGCAAAAAUUUGUAGUCCUACUCUAAGCAAACACAAAUCUGGUGAACAAUACUGUUUUUAUUAUCCUGCUUCUUAGUCCGACACUACACCAAACGCUUCACUAAGUUAGUCCAACUUAGUCUAGUCUAAGCCAGUCCAGCUUAGUCCCUGCAGCUAGUCCAGUCCGAGACAAUCCGGCGCAACAAACGCACCCUUACUGUCUUUUCUUCUGGAUCCAGAGAUAAACUUGUCUCUGUCAGAGAAUAGUGUGUUUCCUUUGUUUUUCUUCCUUUCUAAUUCAUUUUCCCUUAUUUAUACUAGCAACCGUAAAAAUUUAUAAGAAGAGAAAAUGUAAAAUGAUUUCUAUUUUUUUUUUAUGAUAUUCAAAUGAUUUUGCGUCGCUGAAUGAGACUGUUCAUAUAUUUGACUACUAGUUCUGAAUAAAUAUUUUUUUACUAAAAGUUUACAAGGUAACUGAUAUGGUUAUUUGGUUAUAAAACUUUCAGAAAAAAAAAAUAAAAGUAUUUUGUGUGUAAUUUACUAUAUUCUACGUAGCUUUUAAUUUAUUUAAGUUAAUUUGGUCAUCUCACUCUCUUUUAAUUGAUUAAGAGAAUUUCGUUGAUAGGUAGUUUAGAUUAUAAUAAAAUAAAAUAAUUACUAAAUAAAUAGUUUUUUUUUUAAUUAUAUGAUAUUAUGUACAUUAAGUGGUGGAGGGAAUAAGUACAAUGAGACAGUCAUAAUAAUUUGGUUCGAAUUCAUUUUGACGAGAAUCGAACUUAAGAUUUCUUAUUUAUGAGAUAUUUUUCAAUUUACUAGAAACACGUUGUAAUAAUACAAUUGGUCAGAAACACGUUGUAAUAAUAAUUUAUUAUGACACUUAAUGUAUCGAGUUAUGUUCAAUGUUCACAACACACUAAACAAAAUUUCCUCACUUACAAGUUAAAAAGGAAUACUAUUAAAUCAUAAUACUAAGUAACUAUUAAAUAACUAAUUUAUAUAUUUGAUUUGUAAAAGUUUAGGGGAAAGGAAAUCUAAUCCAUCAAGGUUAGGACAUAUCAUAAGUCUCCUUGAGAACUUACACAAGAAGUAUUAGUCUUUUUUUUUUGUUUUUACAUAUCGCGCAUCAAAAAUGGUUUGCAAUGGAACUCAAACAUAGACCUUACAACUCAACUAAUCCUUGUUGGAAAAUACACAUAUAUUUGAGCAAUCUUUUAAUUAAUUUAAACUAAAUUAUUGAGCCAAAACUCAAUGCAAUAAUAAGCACAUUGUUUUAAUCAAAUUAGCUAUAUAUACGAUAUAAAACGUCUAUUUAUAUCAUCGAUUCUAAGAUUUGAUAAAGAGAAUAUUUUCAAGAUGAGCAUAAACAUAGAACACGUACACACUGCUCUACGAAAUUAAUCAAGAACAAUUCCGCAAAAAAAUGGAAGAUAUGUGACUUUUAUUUAUUUCAUAGAUUCUAUGAAGGAUAAGAAAAUGUUGUCGGAGAAAAAGAAAGGUAAACGGGCGAUAAGAAGACGAAUACAACACAAUGAUACAAUUGGGGCUUCCAGAAAGUGCCCUUUUGAUAGCCACUAAGGCCAAAAACCCAUCACAAUAAUUGAAUUACCAUUGUCUUAUUAGAAAGUAAAACACAUUACUUUGGCGUUUUUUAAACUUGAAUGUGACAAAUAUGACAUAGACAAUAAGGAUGUGUGACUUAGAUAUCAGGUUGGAGGAAAAUGGACUGAAGUACAAAGGUUAAGGCAAAUAGAUAUGUGAGAGGUAUUGCACGAGUUCGAUGUCAAAUUAUUAUGACAUAUUUUAUCGCGAUUCUUAUAAGAGAUUUUUCAAUAUGCUGAAAACACAACUCGAUACAUCAAGUGUCAUCACACAAGUGAUUGGAUACUUGAAAAAAAUAAAAUUCAACCACUUGUAUGAUGAUACUUGAUGUACCACGUUGUAUUCUGGCACGCUGAAAAGUUGUCUGUCUCCUAGUUCAAAUCUACUGCUCUUUAUUUUAAAGGAAAAUUAAUGAAAAUUGCUUGAAAAAUUUGAGUUUUAACGAUAAGAACAAAAUAAAGGGUAAAGUUAAUAGUACUAGGAUUGACUUUUUAGUGUAAAAAUAUGAUUUUUCGUUAAAGUGAACAGUACCGGGAGCUUUUCGUUAAAGUUCCCUUAUUUUAAACACGUCUUUGGAUUCAUUAAAAGACAAAAAGACAUGCUAAUAUUUUGAUCCCAGUAUGCAAGAAUUAACCAUACCAUAUACUUAGAAAUACCAAGAAUCCCGCUGCAAAUCAACUGUAAGUCAAAUAUUACCAACGAAACAAAAGAAGGAAUUGCACAAUUCAUUUGGUGAUUAGGCGAACUAACAACAACAACAAAUAUAAAAAAUAACGAGUCAAUAAUUUAAACACUAAACUAAAUGAUCCUUACGAAGAUGUGGGUUGUUGAAGAGUUGGAUCAUCACUUUCCUUAACUAUAUCAAACAACAUACUCCAUAUGGCUCUUGCAAUCGUUGUUUUACCUAUACCGUCCAUACUUUAAAUUCCAAUUAUUUGAACAUCAGGUGAACCUCUAACAUCUAAGUAUUUAGUACUUAAUUCUUGCACGCGAAAAGCUAUUCCAACUGAGUGCUUGGCUUCUUUUAAGUUUGUGGUUUUCAGUAGUCUCCUAAUGUCUUCAACAAUUUUCUCGAUAAACAAUCAUUCAUGUCUCGCAGUUAAAAUUCAAAAUUAUACAAAAGUAAGAUUCAUCAUGCAACUGCAAGAUUUAUUUCAACUAAAUGCCUCAUUCAUCAUGAUUAGAUAUUUUGGUAGUGAAAAUGUUUUGAAUAAAUUAGAUUUGAUCGGGAUGAUUAGUUUAGUUCAAUUCAGCCGUGGUUCAGCCGUGUUUCCAAAAUGCAUUGUAACCAUAUUAGUUAAACUCAGUUAGAUUGCUCCUGAACUAUAAGAAGGUGUUUGUUUGCCCUCACUAAACCAUAUUAUAGCUUUUAGUCAUACAAAUAGAAAUCCAUUAGAAUUAGUAUAUGGGUUUGACAUACGAAGGAUUCGUCCUUCACGCAUUACCAAUGCUCAUCUCCUUAUUUUUGGUGGAUUAGUGAGUCUUAGAAGCUAAUACAAGACAUUGGAAUUAAAUUUAGAGGAAGAAUUAAAAUACCUGUCCGCCGUGGUUUUAAGAUUCCGGCCACACAAAUCUGCAGAAGCCUUAAGAUCCUUCUCCACUGCUCGACCUCAUCUGGAUCUUCAUCCCUUUCAUGCUAACAAAGUUAAAAGAAUAAGGUAAAGUGAGACACCUAAUAAAAGUUUAGGUGGUAAAGUGAACAAAUCAUCAUAUAGAGUAAAGUAGAAUUUUGUGUACAUAAGUGUCAUAGAAAUGCCUUUAGUAUUUUGUACAUAUAGAAAAUAAAUAGGGUUAAUUACAUCGAUGUUCCUUGAAUUUGUCAUUUAUCUUCAUUUUCGUUCUUAAACAUUUUAUUUGUUUUAUGUGAUCUUCAAACUCGCUAUCGCAUGACUUUUUUUAUAUAUCCUUUUCGUCGACUUCAUCUAUUUUUUUGUUAAGUAGAGAUGAUAAAUUUAAAAUUCAUCCCACAACCUGAAAAAUGGGAAAAUGGAGGUGGGUGUACAAAAUUCUUGCCAUGCCCUCUAUAUUUAACAGAAAAAUAAGUUUUUUUGGGUCAAAAAAUAGAUUUUGUUAGAUUAGCCACCGACAGAGUUUGAACUCACACUUUCGUACAAGAGUUUAACUUCUUUCCACCACUAUAGUAAAAGGCCACUUGCAACAAAAAAAUAAAUUGAGUUAACGGAUAUAAUUGAAUUACCACAUGAUAGAGUUUGAGAACCACAAUAAGAAAAAAAAAAAAAAAACUAUUCUAGAACGAAAGUAAAAUUCAUGACAACAAUGUUGUAUAUCUGAAAAAUAGUUCAAGCAGAUUAAGAUGUUAGCACAGAGUCAUUUAUCUAGUUUAUUGAACAAACAACGAGGACAUCAAUGCCGUUUUUUCUGUUUCGAAAUUCAUAAACAACAAAAUUGAGAUUUCUUUCACAAAAAUUACCAUAAAUUUUGACAAAAUUGACGGUUGAAUUAUAAAUCCAGCAGGCAAAUCGAAAACAAUCACAUGAGCUUAGAACACACCACAUCAACAUUUAGCAAGAAGUCUCAUAAGAGAUCCCAAUCAAGAUAAAAUCAUUCAACAGUUUAUUACAUUUCAUUCAUUUAAGAGCAUGGUUCGAAGGAUUAUUUAAUUGACGUUAUAACAUCUUUCUACAAAGAAAAAAUGAAAAUAAAUAUGGCGUUGACACUCGUGGCAAAACCCGACAUGGAUUUAAGUACGUUUCAACCUGACCUUCUGUAAAAGCUGUAGGCCACAGCCACUGUUGCCACUGCUCCAACCACGGCAGCAGCUGCGAGAACGUCGCUUUGCUCCCAGUUCCCUAUCAAACUUGAUAGCUUCUGUAAGCCAUCCUUCCUAGCACACGACUCUGUGGUUUCUUUCGGCUUUUUAUCCUCACUUCCACCGUCCUCCUCCAAACUUACUUCUUUGCAGUAUGUAAAUCCAUCACUAUUAGCACUCUGGCAAUAGCCUGAAAAGUUCUCAUUAUUCUCAAUUUGAUUGCCCUUUUCUUGGUGAAUCUGAUUGCCAUUUUCUUGUGGCUUAUCCUCGAUUUUCUUAUUUUCUUCUCCAUUUGGAAGCUCCCGGUCAUUAAUUUCUUCAGCUUCAUCAGAAGAUGCUCCCAUUUGGCCCCUGUAAGGAAUGAAAUUGAAUUUCGUGUUCAACUAUUUAAAGAUUCAACUCUAAGUUUCGUCAAUAGCAAUUGAGUAAGAAUAGGUAUGAUCAAGCUAAUAAACAAAUCACAACAACAAUACAAAUCAGAAACAUAUACAGGGUAAUGCAGUUAUAUCUAGUUCUUUUGUGCUUUCUCCACAAAAGUUCCUCCAUGUUAAUGCAACUCUAUAUCAAUUAAUCUAUCAUACAAGACAAGACAUAAUCAACAAUUGAAAAAUAUGACAACACUAGCUUUCGUCCAGUGAAAUUUUCAUCCAAAGACAGUAGGCAAAACCAAAAAUGUACAAACCUCCAACGUCGUUCUAUAAUCUCUCCCUUCCCAAUAUGCUCAUCAAGCAAUUCCGGCACAUAACCAGGACUGACGAAUGGAUACCUGCAAUUAAUAAUACAUAAUAUUCAAACUCCUUCAUCGAUCCCAAUACGAUAAAUUUUAAAUUGUUAUGAUCCGGAUAUUACCAAUGGUAUGUCAUGCUUCCAUCUGGGUCGGUCGUGAAUAUUCCAGCAUAGUUGUGGCCUUCAAGGUGAAAGCAAGCAGUAACAAAUACCUGAUUCGUCAAUCCUCGCAGCUCAAACUCUUCUUUCAACUUAUCAAUGCGAACACGUGCGCUAUCACGAUUCCAUUCCUCUUGACUCAUAUGUGUGUAUACAAAUAUAAGGGCAAAUACAUGGGGGCCAGUCAACGGCUCUUGCACUCUCGAAGCCCAUGGUCUAUCAUUCACAAGGACAUCAUCAACAAAGCUGUCCACAUCCGACUCUUUCAAGCCCCUUUGAUCAACAAACAAAAACAACCCCAGGAUCAUAAAAAGGGAUUUACAAGAAACAAUAACCUAACACUCUUUACUUUCUUGUAAGGCAAGGAAUUAGUGUAAGGCAAUGAAUUAGUCGUAAACUGAGUCAUUAAAUUCAAUUUCGAUCUAAUUUCAGAAGCUAACACGUAUUUAAUUAUCUAUUUAGUUUAGUACAUUCAGCACAAUCUCGUAAUCAAAAGAGAAGUCGAAACAGAAAUUACUUUAGUCUAAACUAGGAAAAUAAAUUGCACUGCUCAUGUUGGUUAUUGAAUGGGCCCUCGAUUAUGAAUUAAUUACGGUUUGCCAUUGUGUGUGUUAGUGUGGGCCGUGCUUAACAGCUGGGUUGGGCUACCGCAGUUGGGCCCAGGGUGCAGCUGUCACGAGUUUUGGGCUGGGUUUCACUGAAAGAUCAAAUGACUCUUUUGCCCCCUUCAUUUUUAAUCUAACGGCCACCAUUUGGGGCGUUUUUGUUCUGCAAUUCGGUGUGGUGCUAGUUAAGGAGAUCGCGUGUGGUGCUCGUCAAGGAGAUCGCGCAGAGAGGCAGAGAGGCAGAGGGUGACAUCGAGUUUAGGGUUUGCACAGUGAGAGACAAAAGUGUUGAUGGGAAGGGUUGGGGGUGGACAGAGGGUUGAUGGGAAGGGUAGGAGCUAGAGAGGGGGGGGUGGGGGUGAGGGUGGGUUCUGUCCACUGACGUUGGUUGCAGAGAGAGAGAAAGAUGGGAACGGGUACAGAGAGAAAGAGUGAGUCUUUAUUGAGUUUCAGAACUUUCCUCUCUGAUUUUCUGAUUAUUUUCUCAAUUGGGCUUAUUUCUUACCAAUUUCCUUUGAGAUUUAUGCAUGUGUGUUUGUUAAUGCUCUGUUUCUUCGUUUUUACAGGAAAUGGAAUUGCUCUCUUCCUCUUCUUGGCAACCAUGUAUGCCCUCUCUCUCUCUCAAAUUCUUUCAUUAGGGGUCUAAGGUGAUGCCUUUUUGCCUAAAAUAUCAUUUUGUUAAAUGGCUUAUGAUAUUUUGAUUCUCUGCACAUUCUGCGUAGUUCAAAAAGCAAAAUCUCUCUCUCUCUCUCUCUCUCUCUCUCUCUCUCUCUUUUCCUUUUUGUGGCUAAAGAUCAUGUCUUUUGUGUCAUAAAUUUGUUUUUGUUACAUGGGGUUCUGUAUAUCUUUUGGAUAAUCAAAAAGCUUGAAUGUUUACUAGGUUUCUUUAAAUUUCUUUGAAUUCUACCUUGUGAUUUUGGUUUAGAAAUGUGUAGAAUUACAUUUAUGAGGAUCAUAAGGAAGAGAAGCACAUAUCAGUUCUUAGGCAUUCCAUACGUAAUGACUAUGCUUAACUGCCUACUCCCACUUGGAAUGCUGCUUUGCCUCUCUCUCUCUCUCUCUCUCCCCCCCUUCUGCUGUGUAUUGCCUAAUUAGUUAUUUACAUUUGUUUAUUUGUCUCUGUAAAGCUUUCAUGCUUGGAUUUUAAAUGUAUGAUUCAAUUAGAAACCUUUAUAAUGUUGAUGUUAUAGAACAUUCAACAGAUAUAUAUUCAACAUUAGGUAGCUCUGGCAAAAUCAUAUAGACUAAGAUUUGGUAAUAUAUGGAGGUGAGAGUGAAUCUGCCUUGCUUGCCAUGAUAUAGGCUUGCAAUGAUGGCUUUCUCUUUGUAGUACUACAUUCUACUCUUACAUGCUAACAUCAGAAAGCAGACUAAGAUAGAUCCAAACCCAAUUUUAUUAAUUAAAGUUAACGGAAAGAAAAUGAUUUAUGCAUGCCUUUGUUUAUUUGUCACUUGAUUUUGGUUUAGGUUGACCAUAGCUAAAACAUCCAAGACUUGCCUAACACCUAAUUUGACGAAGACCGUAUCCUUUUUAGCCUUUAGGUGUGUGUUUGCUAGCUAGAUGGGUGGUGGGUGAGUCUUGGAUGUUAUCUUGGAUGUCUUGAUUAUUUUGGUGGGCGAGUCUUGGAUGUUUUGGUUCUGUCUUCUUCAACUCUUAUAUCUUCCCUUUUUCUGAAUUUUCUUUAUUUCUUAUCCUUUAAACUUUGUAUUUUUUUUUAAAUAUAUAUAUUUUUUGGUGAUGCAGAUAGAUGAACAUGUUCAAGGGGAAAUCAUGAACCACAGAUCACUGCAUCUGAAUAUUGUUUGAUUCCAAGAGGUCAGUGAUCGUAAACUUUUUCAUUUUGUAUUUUAAGAAUGAAUUUGGCAAGUUGUGUUUGAAUUUUGUAUAAGUAUCUGCUGAGGGUGGGUGGAUGAAGACAGAACACACUAAAUUUGGCCUCUGGUGUGCUUAAACUGGUACGGGGGAUGGUUAGAACUUUGAGCGCGGAAUGCAGUAGGACUAAAAGGAAAUGCCCUACCCACCGGGGCAAUCCACCACUUGCAGAAUUGUUGUCAAAAUAACUCUGCUAAAAAUAUGAUCUAUACUUCCUGCACUUUGUUUUACUGUGAAGUUGAAAUAGUCUUUAGAGUGGCUUAUUUGUGAUAAUCGAUAAAUAGGUUUGUGUUUAAGACUUGAGAGUAGUGCGGUGUCUUUCUUGCUGGUUCUGCUCACACCACCUCAUCUAGCCAUUGUGAUGGAGUACACGGCUGGGUGAGAACUCUUCGAGAGAAUAUGCAGUGCUAGCAGAUUUAGUGAGGAUGAGAUAAAGUAGUUUCAAAUGCAGAGAAAAUUUCAUUGGAAAUGAUUUUAGUGUAGAGUCUCAAAUAUGGGAUCUCUGAAUGUCCCCUGAAAUGGAAUCCAUCUCGAUUUUCGUCUAGUUUCAGAUAGGGAAAGUUAGGUCUGAAGCAUUUUUACAUAAAUAGUCAGUCAUAAUAUAACUAAAACUUACAUACUUUUUCAAUUUAAUUGUUGUUUUGCAUCAGGCAAGGUUUUUCAUCCAGCAGUUGAUAUCAAGAGUUAGUUGCUGUCAUUUGAUGGUAUGUAAAUCCUAUAAAUUCGGAUUAAAAUUAAAGCAACUAUAGAACAAAAACCUCAAGAAAUCAACGCGAGUUUACCUGUAUUUGAUCAUUUGUGGGAAAAUCAACACAUCGCCGUCGGAAAACUCAGUUCCUUCGCGUCCUUCAAUUACUGUCAACAACGUCUAUCAAAAACCAAGAAAAAAGUGAGUAAUGGAGUCGGCUCAACACCAGAACUCAGUAGCUCCAGGAAAUAAGAAACGGUAAGAAAAAGCAAUCAGAAACCCCGACGAAUUGAGCUGGAAAAUGGACCUUAAAGGUGAUGUCGUUCUUGCGAGCUUUGAGAGCAGAUGCGAAGAUUUUAGGGAGUGGAUCGGACUCAUAGCCUUUGAUGCGCCAUGGCCAGGCCUCGAGGGUCUUGUAGCAGAGGAAAACGUGGCGAUAGUAUGACAGUGUAUCGUCAUCAGUGUCUUCAUCAGACUCAUAUGACACAGUAGUGUCUUCAUCAGACUCAUAUGACAUAGUCUCAUAGUUGUCCCAAUUAGUACGAUCAUCGGACAAAUCCCAUUUUACAAUAUCCACUCCAGUUUUGUUCACCUUAAUAAUUGUAUUAUCUAGUCCAUAAAAUUGUGCUUGUACAAGAACCAUGUCGCCGCCUUUCAAAUUGAGCUUCUUGUUUUGAAAGAUUUCCCAACCAAAGAUAAUAUUCAUGGGAAGCAGUUACGGUGGCCUCAAUUGGCCAGAUACGAAAAUUAGUUUGCUGGGUACGAUUAACAACAUCAAUGGUUAGAAACCCACUAGAGUCGGAGUUGUCCGAAGAAUAAACGAUGCCCAAAGCCAACCCUCCUAUAUAAUCAAUACAUGGCGGCACUUUAAAUUUGACAGUUUCAUCCUCUCUCGCGACAUAGGCUAACCGCUUCGGAAUAUCAUUUCUAGAGAGAAAAAUUCCACCAAAUGCAUUUUUCUACAACAUGGGGUGCAAAGUUAGUAAAAGCAACAAUACAAAAAGCAGAGAGAGAGAGAGAGAGAGAGAGAGAGAGAGAGAGAGAGAGAGAGAGAGAGAGAGAGAGAGAGAGUACCAUACCGUUUGGAGGUUCUCCUUAAAAGUAUCAGUGAGACUGGUACACCCUUCCAUAUAAAUUGAAUCCAUGUAGUCCAAUGAGUUCUCCAAGUUUGGAAUAUCUUUGAGUUUGCGGCAGUCUUUCAGUUGCAAGUGUUUCAUUUUCGACAUCUCUGAAAAGUCGGACACUAUUUCCAGUGCUGUGCAGUAAUUCGCUUCCAAUACACAUAAACUGUUGGGCAAAUCUGGGAUUGCCUGAAGGUUUGUGCAAUGAUUUAGACAUAAACUCCAAAGCUGAGAAAGACCACUGAGAAUGGGUAGCCUAUUAAAACCAUUCCCACCUAGAUCUAAAAUUUUUAAAGAAGAUAGACUCCCAAUUAUUUCGAGAAGGGCACCAUCUGUUAUAUUGCAGUCGCUGAGAUGUAAUUCCUCAAUCAUCUUCAGUUGUGCUAAAAAAUGGUAACCCCCACACAAACCCUUACAGUCUCUGAUGGUCAAGUACCGGAGAUGUGGGAGUUUUGAAAAGUUUGGUAAUUCAGUCAGGUUACGGCAGUGUACAAGAACGAGAAACUUCAACUUCUUAGGUAACUGUUACUCAAAAAGAGAAAACAAUAAUAAAAAUCCAAAUAAAUAAAAGAGAGAAUGCAUGACGAUGACUGAUGUUGAUAUUUACAAGGACAUUGAUAGUUAUAUUGUACCAAGUCUGAAUCCUCCCAAACUCGUACGAUCUUGCUGGACCACAGUUCCAUAUAAACUAGGUUUCGUUGAUCAAAAUCUGCUGGUAUGGCUUCAAGAGGAAAUCCAAUCCAAUACAAUAAUCUUAACUCCUUGGAAAGAUGUUUGUAGCUUCCAGUCAGCUUUACAUUUCCCAGCCAGAGAAUUCUCAGUCGCCACAUCUUGUUAAAUGCUUCCGUACUGAAGCUUUGCUCGUCAUCAGAAUGUUCUGGCAAAAAUAAUUCUAGUCCUUCAACUGCUUCUGUUCCCUGUUAGAGAUAUAAAAAAAAAACAAGAAAAGGAUAAUAUUCACACGAAGCAGAGUUGUGAAUCGGAUGAAUGAACUACUAAAAAGGUAGGGCAUACAACAUAAUUAUUUAUUUUCUCUUUCAAAUUACCCAGUGGAUGAAAGCCUUUUCUUUUCUUCUUUUUCUUCGAAUAUACUAUGUAUGUCAUACACUAUAUAUAUACAGGAUAUGCUUAUAUACUUCUCUUUUUUCAUAUGUACUUAACAUCUCUUUUAUUGCAAAAGUACUUACAGAUUCGUUCCAUAGCACACUUUUUGCAUCUUCCAUAUGCCACAAUCGACUACGUUUUCCCAGUUCCACAGGAGAUUCUGCCCGCACAAUUUCUCUUCCCAUAUCUCGAAUCAAAUCAUGCAUCCUCAAUGCUCCCCCUUUAUCAAUAUAUAAGAGACAUCGAUCACAAAGUGUGGUAAUUUCUGCUUCUACAGAAAAAUGACUACAACCAUCCAAUAUUGUCGUGACCACACUUAUAGACACUCCAAUAAAGAAAUUAGAUAUGUCAAGGAACACACCCUUCACAUGAUCGUCACGUAACCCAUCGUAGCUUAAUUUAAGUGUUUGAUGAAUUUUUCCAUCUGGAAUAUUUCUUAAUUUAUUCAAUGUACUUUUCCAUAUGCUUUUACUCUUUUUCGUAGCCAACAAACGGCCAACAACUUCAAGAGCUAGGGGCAAUCCUCCACAAUAAUCAACAACAUCUCUUGCGAGUUCAAUAUAUUCUUCAUCGGGACAAUCAUUUCCAAAGGCAUGCCAACUAAGAAGCUUAAGAGCUUCAUCAUCAGUCAUUCCUUGUGCUUUAUACCUUUUAUCCACCUUUUGUAUAUUCAGCACUUGUUCAUCUCUUGUCGUUAUAAUAAUCCUACUCCCUGGACCAAACGAGUCAUGUGCUAUUGCCAAUUUAUCUAAUUGGUCCGCAUCAUCUAUGUCAUCAACCACGACAAGUACCUUCAUGCUUCCAAGUCUUUUCUCUAUCUCCUUGGUUCCUUCAGCAACAUUGCUUACCUUAAUGUCAGGCCGUUUCAAAAUAUCUCCAAGAAGUUGUUCUUGCAGACUAACCAUAUUUUUCUUGUUACUCCUCACCUCUUCAAGGUAACAUUGACUACUGAAACUAUGACCAUAUUUGCUACAAAUGGCUUUGGCAAGUGUUGUUUUACCUAUACCGCCUGUACCCCAAAUUCCAAUUAUUUGAACAUCAGGUGAACCUCCAACGUCUAAGUAUUCAGUGCUGAAUUCUUGCACGCGAAAAGCUAUUCCAACUGAGUGCUUGGCUUUUAAGUCUACGGGUUUCAAUAUUCCCUUGAUGUCCCCAGUAAUUUUCUCGAUAAACACUCCUUCACGCCUACAAGUAGAAAUUCCAAAUUACGAGAGCCAUACUAAAUGCCUUAAUCAUCAUGCCUUUAUAUUUACAUAUUGAAACAGAUUGGAAUAAAUUGUGAUUUACUGAGCUCAAUUCAACCACGUAUUUAAUCUUCGAUUAUAACGUGAAUAACCAAUUGGACUACUACACAAUUGUAGCUUUCAGUUAUAUAAUUAAGAAUCCAUUACAAUUGGUAUUUUAAUUUGAUAAAGUGUGGAGCAUUUGUCCUUCACACACCUAUAAAAAACAAUCACUUCCUUAAUUUUGACGGAAAUUCUUAUGCAAAUGCUCUACAACAAUAACAACAACAAAGCCUUUUCCCACUAAGUGGGGUCGAUAAAUAAAUGAUGCAAAUGCUCUACCUUUUAUAAAAUUCAUAUGCCAAUUCUAAUAAAUUUUUAUGCAGUGACCAAAAUUACAGUUCUAUCAUAGUUCACGGACCAACGAUCCAAUUUUUCUUAUAACUUAUAAAAUCAGAUUCAAUGCCUUAAUUAUAAUAUCUUAAUUUUGGUUGAUUAGUGAAAUAUGGCGAUAUGAAAUUUGAAGUAAACAAAAAAGUAUACCCGUCGGCCGUGGUUUUGAGGUUCCAGCCGGCCAAAUCUGCAGAAGCCUUAAGAUCCUCUCUCCACUGCUUGACCACAUUUGGAUCUUCAUCCUUUUCAUGCUUCUGAAAUGCUUCCCCAAAACUAUCUUUCUGUUUCCUGACUUGAGAAGGGUCAACGUCGUAGAAUAUUGGACACACUAUUUUCCCCUCUUGAUUUUUUAGGCACCUCAUGAUCUUCGACAGCUCCCUCAGGCACCAUCGGGACUCGGCGUACCUCUUUGAGAAGACGAUGACGGCGAUUCUCGACCCUUCGAUUUCUUGGUCAAGUUCCCUCUGUAUGUUUUCCCCCCUUCUGAGCUGUGUGUCUAUAAAUGUGUUAAUUCCGGCAUUGCGUAAUGCAAUGAAGAGGUGGUCUGUGAAGGUAUUGCGGGUGUCUUCACCUCUAAAGCUCAGGAACACCUCGUACUUCCAGCGGUUUGAGCUCCGCGAGGAAGACGAAGAGGCGGCAGCGGCGGCUCCAUGGUCGGAGCUGCUGGCAUCCAUUGCAGCCUGUAGAAGUGCAGCUUGACUUUCAAAUAACCAAAGUCAAUCUUUCCCAAGCUUCCCGAGUGUAGGCGACCCUAUUAAAUUUUUUGCAUAGGGCAAUGAUGUCACUGCCGUGUCGAUAACGCGUGAGUGGUAUUCCUCCCACAAUUUAAUUUGUAUAAAUGUUACCAUCAAAUUUUAAAAAAAUAAAUCGUAUAACUGCUUUACGAUGCAAUUUCCUUUCUUUUGUAGUUUUAAGGGUGGUGCGCAGGUAGGUUCAACUGCGGCUGCUGGUGGACGUCACGACAGCGUUAUAAGAAUCUUCGGUGAAAACAGGUCCACAAACACCACAUCUAUUAUCUCGACACCAUGUGCACAUACAUUACAUGGGAGCCAGUCAACGCCUCUUGCACUCCGGAAGCCCAUGGUUUGUGAUUCACAAGGACAUCAUCAACAAAGCUGUCCACAUCCGACUCUUUCAAGCCCCUUUGAUUGAGAAACAAAAACAACCACAGAAUCACAAAGUUAAAAAUCCCCAAAUACUUAUCGCUAACACGCCCAUUUAGGGCUGGUUUGGUAUUGCUGUGCUUUGAAAAAAAGCUGCUGUAAGAAUAAGCGGCUGUGCUGUGAGAAUAAGCGGCUGUGAAAUAAAACCAGUAGAGUGUUUGGUAAACUUUUUUGUGAAAGUGCUUUUGGAAAAAAAAAGCAGGAUGAUAGUGUGUCUUUUUAUUAAAAGAGCACCGUAGCUCUGUGUGCUUUGAAAAAACUGGUUUUUUUUUCAAAGCAGCAAAUAGCAGCUUCAGCUUUUCCUUUGAUUUUCAGCUUAUUCUCACAGCAGCUUCCAAAAUAAGCUCUUUUUUUUUUUUCAGUUUACCAAACACAAAAAUGACCAUCAGUUUUUUUUCACAGUGGCUUUUUUUAAAAUCACCUCAAUCCCAAACGGGGCCUUAGUAAUCACAAAUACUUAUCGAAAACUAGACAACAACCUUCACUAAGUUUUUGUGCUGCACUUUCGACAUCAUUGCCACUUCCCUCGCAAACCGCUCUUCUCUCUUGGCAAUCUGCUCUGGGGUUUCUCCUCUAUGAACAUUUUUUACAGCAACUUUUUGACUCUUAUAUCUAGAACAAACAAACGCAACCACCAAACAGAUUAAGAACACAACAGAACAGAACAUCAUCGUUGUAACUCGACACGAAAAACACAUAUUCGGCAUCAUAAACACCAUAAUUGCAGAACACCAAAUCAAGUUUUGAUCUUUGAUUAGUUCUGCAAAAACCCAACUCAAAUUUGCAUUUAUAUUUAACAAGAUCUAAGGCAUCAUAUUAAAUUGCUAAACUUGAGAGACCAGAAAUUCAGAAUUUAAGACAAACAAAAGAUGUUUUGGAUCGAUCAGCCACUUGGCAUCCAAAUCGAAAUCCCCAACUGAAUAAACCCCAUUACCAGAUCCCAUAAUUUUCUCUCUCUAAAAUUCAACAAGAACAAAACAAGAACAACAUACACUGACUAAUUAACCAAAACAAAGGGUACCCUUUAUUUGUAGGACCACAUUUGAAGUAAAGAUGAAAGCUUUGGUCUGGAUAAAAAUGGAAAAAAUUAAUAAAAUCAGCAGACUUCGUAUGAUUGGAGAGGGAGAAAGAUGAAGACUUUCUAUAAUAAAAGGACUUGCUUGGUACUGUAGGUUUCAGAAAACAGACCCAUCCCCGGAAUCACGGUUGAGGAUCCUACAAAGAAUUUAGCACAAGAUUGUUUGCCCUCCCACUUCCGGUGCCCUCUCAUGUCCUUCUGUUUUGUGUGGUCACGAUUAAGCCAUAUCAAUAUUUUAUAUUGUUUUUUUUAUAGAGAUAAUAAGAUAAAAAUAAAUAGUAAUAUAAAAUAUUGAUGUAGCUUAACCGUGACCAUACAAACAGAAGGGUACAUGAGGGCACUAGAAGUGAGAGGGCAGACAAUCCUUGUCCAAAAAUAAAAUCCCAGAGGCACCCACCAACAACCCUACAAUAUAAAAAGGAGGUGGAUUUUCUGCUCUCUCAUUUCCAUACUCUUCCCAUUCCCUUCUGUUUGUGUUAUCACGGUUAGGCCACGUUAACAUUUUAUAUUCAUAUUAUUUUUUAUUUUAUUAUUUUUAUAAAAAAAAUAAUAUAAAAUGUUGAUGUGACUUAAUCGUGACCACACAUCACAGAGGAGAUGAGGAAAGUAUGAAAAUAUGAGGCAAGACAAUCCGCCUCCAUAUAAAAAUGGUCACUGAUGAGAGCUCUAUCAGUGGGAGUGGAUUAGAUUUAUUAUUGGGAAUUGGGGAGAGAGAGGAAUCAGUAGAAGAGCAAGCAGAUAGAGUUGAGCAAGGCAGAGGAGGAUGAAACUGAGAGGAGGUGGAGAUUUGGGAACUUGGUGGCGGCGAUGGUGGCGGUGGGCGGGUGGGAAGUGAGUUCAGUUGAGAUUAAUUUAUUGGCCUUCUCCGCGAGUGGAAUGUUAUUGUCUUGUCUUCUAGAUCCAAAGAUAAACUAGUCUCUGUCAGAGAAUAGUGUGUUUCCUUUGUUUUUCUUCCUUUCUACCUCAUUUUCCCUUAUUUAUACUAGCAAGAAUAAAAAUUUAUAAUAAGAGAAAAUGUAAAUUGAUUUCUAAAUUUUUUUUCUUUAUGAUAUUCAAAUGAUUUUGCCUUGCUGAAUGAGACUGUUCAUAUCUUUGACUACUAGUUCUGAAUAAAUAUUUCUUUAACUAAAAGUUUACAAGGCAACUGAAAUGAUUACUUAGUUAUAAGACUUUGGAAAAAAAAUUACAAGUAUUUUGUGUGCAAUUUACUAUAUUAUGCAUAACUUUUAAUAUAUUAAUUUAUUUAAGUUAAUUUGGUCUUUUAACUUUUAUUUGGUUGAUUAAAAGAGUUUUGUUGAUAGGUAGUUUAGAUUAUAAUAAAAUAAAAUAAUUACUAAAUAAAUAGUUUUUUUAAUAAUAUGAUAUUAUGUACAUUAAGUGGUGGAGGGAGUGAGUUAAGCUUCACAAUGAGAUAGUCAUAAUAAUUUGUUCAAAUUUAUCUUAAUGAUAAUCGAACUUAAGACUUCUUAUGUAUGAGAGAUUUUUCAAUUUACUAGAAACACAUUGUAAAAAUACAAUUGGUUGGAAACUUAAAAAAUACAAUUUCAAACUAUUUUAUUAUGACACUUGGUGUAUCAAGUCAUGUUUAGUGUUCACACCACACUGAAAAUUUUCUCCUCACUUACAAGUCAAAAGGAAUACUAUUAAAUCGUAAUAUAAGUGACUACUAAAUAACUAAUUUAUAUAUUUGAUUUUUAAAAGUUUAGGGGAAAGGAAAGCUAAUCCAUCAAGGCCAAGGCAUAUAACAAGUAUCCUCGAGAACUUACACAAGGGGUCUUAGUCCUUUUUUUGUUUUUACAGAUCUUGCACAAAAAAUGGUUGCUUACAAUGGAACUCAAACAUAGACCUUGCAACUCAACCAAUCCUCAGUGGAAAAUACACAUGUAUUUGAGCAAUCUUUUAAUUAAUUUAAACUAAAUUAUCGAGUCAAAACUCCAUGCAAUAAACAUAUUGUUUUAAUUAAAUUAUUCAUAUACAAUAAUAAAAUGUCUAUUUAUAUCAUAGAUUCUAAGAUUUGAUAAAGAGAAUAUUUCCAAGAUGUGCAUAGACAUAAAACACAUACACACUACUCUAACUAAAUUAAUCAAGAACAAUUCUGCAAGAAAAUGGAAGAUAUGUGACUUUUAUUUAUUUCCUAGAUUCUAAGAAGGAUAAGAAAAUGUUGUCGGAGAAAAAGAAAGGUAAACGGGCGAUAAGAAGACGAAUACAACACAAUGAUACAAUUGGGGCUUCGAGAAAGUGCCCUUUUGGUAUCCACUAAGGCCAAAAACCCAUCACAAUAAUUGAAUUACCAAUGUCUUAUUAGAAAGUAAAACACAUUAUUUUGGCGAUUUUGAAACUUGAAUGACAAAUAUGACAUAGACAAUAAGGAUGUGUGACUCAGAUACCAGGUUGGAGGAAAAUGGACUGAAGUACAAAGGUUAAGGCAAGGAGAUAUGUGAGAGGUAUUACAUGAGUUAAUUAUCAAAUUAUUAUGACAUAUUUUAUCGCGUUUUUUAUGAGAGAUUUUUUAGUGUGCUGAAAACACAGCUCGAUACAUCAAGUGUCAUCACAUAACUGAUUGGAUACUUGAAAAAAAUAAAAUUCAACUUGUAUGAUGACACUUGAUUUAUCGGGUUGUAUUCCGGCACACUAAAAAGUUGUCAUCUCCUAGUUCAGAUAUACUGCUCUUUAUUUUAAACACAUCUUUGUACUCAUUAAAAGACAAAAAGACAAGCAAAUAUUUUGGUCCCAGUAUGCAAGAACCAUACAAUAUACUUAGAAAUAUCAAGCAUCCCGUUGGAAAUCAACUGUAAGGCAAAUAUUAUCAACGAAACAAAAGAAGGAAUUGCACAAUUCAUUUGGUGAUUAGGCGAACUAACAACAAAAAAAAUAUAAAAAAUAACGAGUCAAUAAUUUAAACACUGAACUAAAUGAUCCUUACGAAGAUGUGGGUUGUUGAAGAGUUAGAUCAUCACUUUCCUUAACUACACCAAACAACAUACUCCAAAUGGCUUUUGCAAUCAUUGUUUUACCUAUACCGCCCAUACUUCAAAUUCCAAUUAUUUGAACAUCAGGUGAACCUCCAACAUCCAAGUAUUUAGUACUGAAUUCUUGCACGCAAAAAGUUGUUCCAACUGAGUGCUUGGUUUCUUUUAAGUCUGUAGUUUUCAGUAGUCUCCUAAUGUCUCCAACAAUUUUCUCGAUAAACAAUCAUUGAUGUCUCGCGGUUAAAAUUCAAAAUUAUACAAAAGUAAGAUUCAUCAUGCAACUGCAAGAUUUAUAUCAACUAAAGGCUUUUGAUUCAAAAUGGUCCCUGAGAUUUGCAUCAUCCAUAAGUUUGGUCCCUGAGAUUUAAAAUUAAUAGAAGUAGUCCCUGCGAUUGUCCACCAUCCAUGAUUUUAGUCCUUCCGCUAAAGUUUUUGGCCAGAAGUUGGGCAAUUUUCAAAGCUUCGUAACUCAAUCGUUUUUUAACCAAAUUCGACCCAUAAUAUAUCAAAAUGAAGAUAGGAAAGUGUAGAAUAAGAUUAUAUCUAUUUGGAAGCCCAAUCAAUGGAAAACUGGAAAACUUGCCGGAAACUCGCCGAAAACUGGGUAAAUUUUAAACAUUCAUAACUUCUUCAAUACUCAACGAAAUCAAGUGAUUCAAAAACAAAAACCAUACUUCUCAACAAGAAGAAGAGAAUGGUACCUUUUUAAAUGGCUAACUCGCCUUGGUUUGGCCGGAAAACGGCUCGAAAGUGGCUGUUGAAAAACGAGUUAGCAACUUUCGAGCCGUUUUCCGGCCAAACCAAGGCUUUUUAGCCGUUAAAAAAGGUACCAUUCUCUUCUUCUCGUCGAGAAGUAUGAUUUUUGUUUUUGAAUCACUUAAUUUUAUUGAAGACGUUAUGAACGUUUAAAGUUUAUCCAGUUUCCGGCGAGUUUUCCAGUUUUUCCUCGGACCAGUCAAUUUUGAGGCUAUUUUCCGACCAUCGUCGGCAACCAUUGGGCUUCCAAAUAGAUAUAAUCUUAUUCUAUACUUUCCUAUUUUCAUUUUGAUAUAUUACGGGUCGAAUUUGGUUAAGAAACGAUUGAGUUACGAAGCUUUGAAAAUUGCCCAAACUUCCGGCCAAAAGCUUCAACGGAAGGACCAAAAUCAUGGAUGGUGGACAAUCUUAGGGACAACUUCUAUUGAUUUUAAACCUCAGGGACCAAACUUAUGGAUGAUGCAAAUCUUAGGGACCAUUUUGAAUAAAAAACCUCAACUAAAUGCCUCAUUCAUCAUGAUUAGAUAUUUUGGUAGCGAAAACGUUUUGAAUAAGUUAGAUUUGAUCGAGAUGACUAGUUAAGUUCAAUUUAGCCGUGUUUCUGAAAUGCAUUGUAACCGUAUUAGUUAAGCUCAGUUAGAUUGCUCAUGAACUAUAAGAAGGCGUUUGUUUGCCCUCACUAAACCGUAUUAUAGCUUUUAGUCAUACAAUUAGAAAUCCAUUAGAAUUAGUAUAUGGGUUUGACAUACGGAGGAUUCGUCCUUCACGCAUUACCAAAAGCUCCAAAGUUUUUUCCUAUAAACGUAUAAAAUCAAAGUCUGAUCAUAAUCUCCUUAUUUUUGGUGAAUUAGUGAGUCUUAGAAGCUAAUACAAGACAUUGGAAUUAAAUUUAGAGGAAAAAUUAAAAUACCUGUCCGCUGUGGUUUUAAGAUUCCGGCCACACAAAUCUGCAGAAGCCUUAAGAUCCUUCUCCACUGCUCGACCUCAUCUGGAUCUUCAUCCCUUUCAUGCUAACAAAGUUAAAAGAAUAAGGUAAAGUGAGACACCUAAUAAAAGUUUAGGUGGUAAAGUGAACAAAUGAGCAUAUAGAGUGAAGUAAAAUUUUGUCUACAUAAGUGUCAUAGAAAUGCCUUUAAUAUUUUUUACAUAUAGAAAAUAAAUAGGGUUAAUUACAUCGAUGUUCCCUGAAUUUGUCAUUUAUCUUCAUUUUCAUUCUUAAACAUUUUAUUUGUUUUAUAUGAUCUUCAAGCUCGCUAUUGCAUGACUUUUUUUUUUAUAUCCUUUUCGUCAACUUCAUCUAUUUUUCUAUUAAGUAGAGAUGAUAAAUUUAAAAUUCAUCCCACAACCUAAAAAAUGGGAAAAAGGAGGUGGAUGUACAAAAUUCUUGCUAUGCCCUCUAUAUUUAACAGAAAAAUAAAAAUAAAUUGGUCAAAAAUAGAUUUUGUUAGAUUAGUCACUAACGGGGUUCAAACUCACACCGUCAUGCAAGAUCUUAACUCAUUUCCACCACUAUAGUAAAGGGCCACUUGCAACCAAAAAAUAAAUUGAAUUAAUGGAUAUAAUUGAAUCACCACAUGAGAGAGUUUGAGAACCACAAUAAGAAAAAAAAAAAAGAAAAACUAUUCUAGAACGAAAGUAAAAUUCUUGACAACAAUGUUGUAUAUUUGAAAAAUAGUUCAAGCAGAUUAAGAUGUUAGCACAGAGUCAUUUAUCUCGUUUAUUGAACAAACAACGAGGACAUCAAUGCCGUUUUUUCUCUUUUGAAAUUCCUAAACAACAAAAUUGAGAUUUCUUUCACAAAAAUUACCAUAAAUUUUGACAAAAUUGACGGUCGAAUUAUAAAUCCAGCAGGCAAAUCGAAAACAAUCACAGGAGCUUAGAACACACCACAUCAACAUUUAGCAAGCAGUCUCAUAGGAAAUCCCAAUCAAGAUAAAACUAUUCAACAAUUUAUUACAUUUCGUUCAUAUAAGAGCAUGGUUAGGAGGAUUAUUUAAUUGACGUUAUAACAUCUUUCUACAAAGAAAAAAAUGAAAAAGAAAAUAGGGCCUCGGCACCCGUGGCAAAACCCAACAUGGAUUAGAGUACGUUUCAGCCUGACCUUCUGUAAAAGCUAUAGGCCACAGCCACUGUUGCCACUGCUCCAACCACGGCAGCAGCUGCGAGAACAUCGCUUUGCUCCCAGUUCCCAAUCAAGCUUGACAGCUUCCGUAAGGCAUCCUUUGUGGCACACGACUCUGUGGUUUCUUUCGACUUCAUUUCCUCACUUCCACCGUUCUCCUCCAAACUUACUUCUUUGCAGCAUGUAAAUCCAUCACUAUUAGCACCCUGGCAACAGCUUGAAAAGUUCUCAUUAUUCUCAAUAUGAUUGCCCUUUUCUUGGUGAAUCUGAUUGCUAUUUUCAUGUGGCUUCUCCUUGAUUUUCUUAUUUUCUUCUCCAUUUGGAAGUUCCCGGUCAUUAAUUUGUUCAGCUUCAUCAGAAAAUGCUCCCAUUUGGCCUCUGUAAGGAAUGAAAUUGAAUUUCGUGUUCAGCUAUUUAAAGAUUCAACUCUUAAGUUUCUUCAAUGCAGUUACAUCCAAUUUAGAAACAUAUACAGAGUAAUACUGUUGUAUCCAAUUCUUUUGUGCUUUCUCCACAGAAGUUCCUCGAUGUUAUUGUAACUCUAUAUCAAUAAAUCUAUCAUACAAGACUAGACAUAACCAUCAAUUGAAAAAUAUGACAACACAAGCUUCCGUCCAGUGAAAUUUUCAUCCAAAGACAAUAGGCAAAACCGAAAAUCUACAAACCUCCAAAGUCGUUCUAUAAUCUCUCCCUUCCCAAUAUGCUCAUCAAGCAAUUCCGGCACAUCAUCAGGAGUGACGUAGCCAUACCUGCAAUUAAUAAUACAUAAUAUUCAAAUUUCAUCGAUCCCAAUACGACAAAAUUUUAGAUUGUUAUGAUCCGAAUAUUACCAAUGGCCUGUUAUGCUUCCAUCUGAACCUGGGCUGUAGAUAAUCAAGUUUCCAUUGUGGCCUCCAGUGUGAAAGCAAGCAGCAACAAAUAUCUGAUUCGUCAAUCCUCGUAGCUCAGCCUCCUCUUUGAACUUAUUAAUGAGAACACAUGCACUAUCACGAUUCCAUUCCUCUCGACUACCAUGUGCACAUACAAAUACAUAGGAGCCAGUCAACGACUCUUGCACUCCGGAAGCCCAUGGUUUGUGAUUCACAAGGACAUCAUCAACAAAGCUGCCCACAUCCGACUCUUUCAAGCCCCUUUGACAACAAACAAAAACAACCUCAUAAUCACAAAAAGGGAUUUACAGGCAAGGAAUUAGUCGUAAACUGAGCCAUUAAAUUCAAAGGAAAACUAAUGAAAAGAGCUUGAAAACUUUGAGUUUUAACGAUAAGGACAAAAUAAAGGGUAAAGUGAAUAGUACCAGGAUUGACUUUUUAGUGCAAAAAUGUGGUUUUUCGUUAAAGUGAAAAGUACCAAGAGCUUUUCGUUAAGGUUCCCUAAAUUCAAUUUCUACAACUAAUUUCAGAAGCUAACACACAUCUAAUCAUCUAUUUAGGUCAGUGGAUUCAUGUUGGUUAUGGAAUGGGCCCUCCAUUAUGAAUUAAUUACGGUUUGCCAUUGUGUGUGUUAGUGUGGGCCGUGCUUAACAGCUGGGUUGGGCUGCUGCAUUUGGGCCCAGGGUGCAGCUCUCACGGGUUUUGGGCUGGGUUUCACCGAAAUAUCAAAUGACUCUUUUGCCCCCUUCAGUCCUAAUCCGACGGCCACCAUUUGCGGCGUUUGUGGUCUGCAAUUCGGUGGGGGGGGGAGGUGGGGUUAGCUUGCUUUCAAUCUCGUCAAGGAGUUCGUGCAGAGAGGCAGGGGAUGACAUCAAGUUUAGGGUGUGCACAGUGAGAGAGAAGAGGGUAGGAGCUAGAGAGAGGGGGGUGGGUUCUGUCCGCGGACGUAGGUUGCAGAGAGACAGAGAUGGGGAAAAGUAUGGGGGUGGGGUUGAGGGGAACGUGUACACAGAGAGAGUGAGGAAGGGACAUAGGAGCUAGAGGUAUGGGAAAGGAGUCGAGGAGUUGAGGAGUCGAGGGGUUGAGGGGUUGAGGGGUUGAUUUGUCAGGGGCUGCUGCAUCCUUCCUAUUCAAAAGGUAACAAAUAAUUUUCAAUUCAUUCUUUACCCUUGAAUGUGGAUUUACUGUUCGGGGUUGAGGAGGACAUCAUAUAUCUUCCCUUUUUCUGAAUUUUAGUUCUGUCUUCUUCGACUCUUAUAUCUUCCCUUUUUCUGAAUUUUCUUUAUUUCUCAUCCUUUAAACUUUGUAUUUUUUUUAAAUAUUUAUUUUUUUGGUGAUGCAGAUAGAUGAACAUGUUCAAAGGGGAAUCAUGAACCACAGAUCACUGCAUCCGAAUAUAGUUUGAUUCAAAGAGGUCAGUGAUCAUAAACUAUUUUCAUUUUGUAUUUUAAGAAUGAAUUUGGCAAGUUUUGUUUGAAUUUUGUAUAAGUAUCUGCUGAGGGUGGGUGGAUGAAGACAGAACAAACUAAAUUUGGCCUCUGGUGUGCUUAAACUGGUACGGGGGAGGGUUAGAACUUUGAGCCCAUGAUGCAGUAGGACUAGAGAAAUGCGGCAAUCCACCACUUGCAGAAUUAUUGUCAAAAUAACUCUGCUAAAAAUAUGAGCUAUGCUUCCUGCACUUUGUUUUUACUGUGAAGUGGAAAUAGUCUUUAGCGUGGCUUAUUUGUGAUAAUUGAUAAAGAGGUUAGUGUUUAAGACUUGAGAGUAGUGCGGUGUCUUUCUCGCUGGUUCUGAUGAUGGAGUACACGGCUGGGUGAGAACUCUUCGAGGGAAUAUGAGGAUGAGAUAAAGUAGUUUCAAAUACAGGGAAAAUUUCAUUGGAAAUGAUUUUAGUUUAGUUUCAGCUAGGGAAAGUUAGGUCUGAAGCAUUUUUACAUAAACAGUCGGUCAUAAUAUAACUAAAACUUACAUACUUUUUCGAUUUAAUUGUUGUUUUGCAUCAGGCAAAGUUUUUCUUCCAGCAGUUGAUAUCAGGAGUUAGUUGCUGUCAUUUGAUGGUAUGUAAUGUGGCACUUUUCUGCUAAUGCGUUGUAUACUGUUAUUUAUUUCUCUUUUGAUAUUGGAAGUGUUGGUUGUAGUAAGGAAAUAAUUCGUUUCAAUAGUAUACGACUUCGGUUUAAUAGUAUAUGACUCAGUUUUUGAAUAGCACUCAGGUGGUAUUACGACUUAGUUUUCUAAAUGCCAAUAACAGCUCUAGAUUUUGUCUCAAGUCAAGUAUUCUUACUAAUGUAGCAUUUUGUUGGCACAUCAGUAUGUUUUGAUUGUUUCUCUGCUUGAAUAGAGAAUUGUUAACGUCCGGGUGGGAACGUGGGUCAGCUCAUGUUUUAGUCUCUCCGUCGUAAGCAAUUUUACAUGGUACUCUUCAAUGUAGCUAUAGGUAAGACAACACUCUCAGUAUUCCAUAAUCAAACCACCAUUUGAACUUUUUUUCAUCCACCAAGUUAAGCUUUUAUGUGCCAUCUUGAAUAGUUAUAAGUUAUUGCUUCAGAUUACUCCAGUGCGACAUUGUUGUUCUCUUCCUUACCUCUCAAGCUUGCUUAAUAUACCAAUUCUUAUUACUGUUGUAUUGUUAAGAAAUACUCAAUUGCGGAUUCAGUUCAUCGUUUUGAAUCGGAUAAAAAUUAACCACUCAGUGGUUAAUUAUCUAAAUGGGCGGUAGGUCUCGGGUUCGAGACUUGUGAGCAGUCUCUCCAUAAAUGGGGGUAAGGCUAGCCGACAUUCACCUCUCCCAGACCCUGCGUAAAGCGGGAGCCUUGUGCACUGGGUACGACCUUUUUAGUGGUUAAUUAUCUAAAUCCUAUAAAUUCGGAUAAAAAUUAAAGCAACUACAGAACAAAAACCUCAAGAAAUCAACGCAAAUUUACCUGUAUUUGAUCAUUUUUGGGCAAAUCAACACAUCGCCGUCGCAAAACUCAGUUCCUUCGCAUCCUUCAAUUACUGUCAACGUCGUCUAUCAAAUACCAAGAAAAAAUGUGAGUAAUGGAGUCAACUCAGCUCAACACCAGAACUCAGUAGCUCCAGGAAAUAAGAAUGGUAAGAAAAAGCAAUCAGAAACGUCGACGAAUUGAGCUGGAAAAUGGACCUUAAUGGUGAAGUCGUUCUCGCGAGCUUUGAGAGCGGAUGCGAAGAACUUAGGGAGUGGAUCGGACUCAGGGCCUUCGAUGCGCCACGGCCAGGCCUCCAGGGUCUUGUAGCAAAGGAAAACGUGGUGAUAGCUCAACAGUGUAUCGUCGUCAGUGUCUUCAUCAGACUCAUAUGACUUGGUCUUAUAGUUGUCCCAAAUAGUAAGAGCAUCAGACAAAUCCCAUUUUACAAUAUCCACUCCUGUUUUGUUCAGCUUAAUUAUAUUAUCUCCUCCAUAAAAUCUUGCUUUUACAAGAACUAUGUCGCCACCUUUCAAAUUGAGCUUCUUGUUUGAAAGAUUUCCCAACCAAAGAUAAUAUUCAUGGGAAGCAGUUAUGGCGGCCUUAAUUGUCCAGAUGCUAAAAUGAGUUCGUUGGGUACGAUUAACAACAUCAAUGCAUAGAUCCCCAGUAGAGUUGGAGUUGUCUGAAGAAUAAAUGAUGCCCAAAGCCAACCCUCCUAUAUAAUCAAUACUUGGCGGCACUUCAAAUUUGACAGUUUUAUCCUCUCCCGCGACAUAGGCUAACCAGUUAGGAAUAUCAUUUCCAGAGAGAAAAAUUCCACCAAAUGCAUUUUUCUACAACAUGGGGUGCAAAGUCAGUAUAAGCAACAAUACAAAAAGCAGAGAGAGAGAGAGAGAGUACCAUACCGUUCGGAGGUUCUCCUUAAAAGUAUCAGUGAGACUGGUACACCCUUCCAUUUUAAUGUAAAUUAUCGAACCCAUGUAGUCCAACGAGUUCUUAAAUUUUGGAAUAUCUUGAGUUUGCGGCAGUCUUUCAGUAACAAUAUCCUCAUUUUCGACAUCUCUGAAAUGUCGGACAUUAUUUCCAGUGCAGUGCAGUAAUUCGCUUGCAGUAAAAGCAAACUGUUCGGCAAAUCUGGGAUUUCCUGAAGGUUUGUGCAAUGAUCGAGAAUUAAUACCAGAAGCUGAGAAAGGCCACUGAGAAUGGGUAGCCUAUUAAAACCAUUCCCACCUAGACCUAAAAAUGUUAAAGAAGAUAGACUCCCAAUUAUUUCGAGAACGGCACCAUCUGUUAUAUUGCAGUCACUGAGAUCUAAUACGUCAAUCAUCUUCAGUUGUGCUAAAAAAUGGUAACCCCCACACAAACCCUUACAGCCACUGAGCUCCAAUUUAUUGAGAUGUGGGAGUUUUGAAAAGUCUGGUAAUUCAGUCAGGUGAUGACAGUCGUUAAGAAGGAGAUACUUCAACUUCUUAGGCAACUGUUACUCAAAAAGAGAAAACAAUAAUAAAAAUUCAAAUAAAUAAAAGAGAGAAUGCAUGAUGAUGACUGAUGUUGAUAUUUACAAGGACAUUGAUAAUUAUAUCGUACCAGGUCCGAAUCCUCCCAAACUCGUACGAUCUUGCUGUUGCUCAGGUUUAAAUAAACUAGGUUUCGUUGAUCAAAAUCUGCUGGUAUGGCUUCAAGAGGAAAUCCAAUCCAAUCCAACGCUCUUAACUCCUUGGAAAGAUGUUUGUAGCUUCCAGUCAGCUUUACAUUAGCCAGGUCGAGAAAUUUCAGACGCCACAUCUUCUUAAACGCUUUCGUACUGAAGCUUUGCUCGUCAUCAGAAUGUUCUGGCAAAAAUAAGUGUAGUCCUUCAACUGCUUCUGUUCCCUGUUAGAGAUCCAAAAUAAAAAAGGAUAAUAUUCACACGAAGCAUAGCUGUGAAUUGGAUGAAUGAACUACUAGAAAGGUAGGGCAUACAACAUAAUUAUGUAUUCUCUCUUUCAAUUUACAAUGGAUGAAAGCCUUUUUUCUUAAAAUACACUAUGUACAACAUACAUUAUAUAUAUGCGGAUAUGCGUAUAUACUUCUCUUUAUUUACAUGUACUUAACAUAACAUCUUUUCAUUGCAAAAGUACUUACAGAUUCGUUCCUUAGCACGCUUUUUGCAUCUUCACUAUGCCACAAAUGACUACGUUUUCCCAAUUUCACAGGAGAUUCUGCCCGCACAAUUUCUCUUCCCAUAUCUCGAAUCAAAUCAUGCAUCCUCAAUCUUUUCCUUUCAUCAAUAUAUAGGAGACAUCGAUCGCAGAGUGUGGUAAUUUCUGCUUCUACAGAAAAACGACUACAACCAUCCAAUACUGGAGUGGCCACACUUAUAUGCACUCCAAUAAAGAAAUUAGAUAUGUCUAGGAACACACCCUUCUCAUGAUCAUCACGUAGUCCAUCGUAGCUUAAUUUAAGCGUUUCAUGAAUUUUUCCGUCUGGAAUAUUUCUCAAUUUAUCCAAUGUACUUUCCCAUAUGGUUUUACUCUUUUUCUUAGCCAACAAACGACCAACAACUUUCAGAGCUAGGGGCAAUCCUCCACAAUAAUCAACAAUAUCUCUUGCCAAUUCAAUAUAUUCUUUAUCGGGAUAAUCAUUUCCAAAGGCAUGCCAACUAAGGAGCUCAAAAGCUUCUUUCUCUGUCAUUGCUUGUGCCUUAUAUUUUUUAUCCACCUUUUGUAUAUUCAGCACAUGUUCAUCUCUUGUUGUUAUAAUAAUUCUACUCCCUGGACCAAACGAUUCAUGUUCUAUUGCCAAUUCAUCUAAUUGGUCUGCAUCAUCUAUGUCAUCAACCACGACAAGUACCUUCAUGCUUCCAAGUCUUUUCUUGAUCUCUUUGGUCCCUUCGGCAACACUGCUUACCUUAAUGUCAGGCUGUUUUAAAAUAUCUCGAAGAAGUUGUUCUUGCAAACUAACCAUCGCUUUCUUUUUACUCCUCACAUCUUCAAGGUAACAUUGACGACUAAAACUAUGCUGAUAAUUGCUACAAACGGCUCUGGCAAGCAUUGUUUUACCUAUACCGCCCAUACCACAAAUUCCAAUUAUUCGAACAUCAGGUGAACCUCCAACGUCUAAGUAUUUAGUACAAAAUUCUUGCAAGCGAAAAGCCAUUCCAACUAAGUGCUUGGCUUCUUUAAAGUCUGUGGUUUUCAGUAGUCCUUUGACGUCCCCAACAAUUUUCUCGAUAAACACCCCUUCACACCUACGAGUAGAAAUUCCAAAUUACGAGAGCCAUACUAAAUGCCUUAUUCAUAAUGACUAGAUAUUUACAUAUUGAAACAUAUUUGAAUAAACUGGAUUAAUUGAGCUCAAUUCAACCACGUAUCCAAUCUUUGAUUAUAAUGUGAAUACAUUAGAUCAUUGGUGAUUUGACUAUUAUGCAAUUGUAGCUUUCAGUAAUAUAAUUAAGAAUCCAUUACAAUUGGUAUUUUAAAUUGAUAAAGUGUGGAGCAUUUGUCCUUCACACACCCAUAAAAAACAAAGCACGUACCCUGCGCUUCACUUCCUUAAUUUCCACGGAAAUUAUUAUGCAAAUGCUCUACCUUUUAUAAAAUUCAUAUACCAAUUGUAAUAAAUUUUUAUGUAGGGACCAAAAUUACAGUUCUAUUAUAGUUCAGAGAUCAACGAUCCAAUUUUUCUUAUGACAUAUAAAAUCAGAUUCAAUGCCUUAAUUAUAAUAUCUUAAUUUUGGUUGAUUAGUGAAAUAUGGUGAUAUGAAAUUUGAAGUAAACAAAAAAGUAUACCCGUCGGCCGUGGUUUUGAGGUUCCAGCCGGCCAAAUCUGCAGAAGCCUUAAGAUCCUCUCUCCACUGCUUGACCUCAUUUGGAUCUUCAUCCUUUUCAUGCUUCUGAAAUGCUUCCCCAAAACUAUCUUUCUGUUUCCUGACUUGAGAAGGGUCAACGUCGUAGAAUAUUGGACACACUAUCUUCCCCUCUUGAUCUUUUAGGCACCUCAUGAUCUUCGACAGCUCCCUCAGGCACCACCGGGACUCCGCGUACCUCUUCGAGAAGACGAUGACAGCGAUCCUCGACCCUUCGAUUUCUUGGUCAAGUUCACUCUGUAUGUCUUCCCCCCUUCUGAGCUGUUUGUCUAUAAACGUGUUAAUUCCGGCAUUGCGUAACGCAAUGAAGAGGUGGUCUGUGAAGGUGUUGCGGGUAUCUUCGCCUCUAAAGCUCAGGAACACCUCGUACUUCCAGCGGUUUGAGCUCUGCGAGGAAGACGAAGAGGCGGCAGAGCCAGCUCCUUGGGCGGAGCUGCUGGUAUCCAUUGCAGACCGUAGAAGUGCAGCUUGGCUUUCAAAUAACCAAAGUCAAGUCUUUACCCAGUGUCGGUGGCCGUUUUAGAUAUUUUGCAUGGGCCAAUAAUGUCACUGCUGUGUCGAUAACGCGCUCCCACAGUUUAAUUUGUAUAAAUGCUUUACGAUGCAAUUUCCUUUCUUUUGUAGUCUUUUGAGAAUCUGCCGCCCAACUUUGACCGGUUGACGAUCUUAUUGUAUUAUAAGAUGUGCAUUUUGAUUAUCAUCAUUUAAUGUGAUGUAUGUUCAUCAAAUUAUUUAUUAUUAUUAGAUGAGUUUAAAUUUUAAGAUUUGUACUUAUGCACUACCCACCCGAAUCUCGAAAUUCAAACACAUUUAACGAUGAUAAAUAGAAUGAUAAACAUAUAUCAUACUAAAUAAUGGUGAGCAAAAAUGCUCCCGUAUUUUAAGGGUGGUGCGCAGCACGUUCCAACUGUUGGAGUCAGUAGUAUCAACGGGAAGAGACCUCAUCUCCAACAACCCAUCUUAACAAAAAAUGCAGAAAAUUAAACUCCAACAGGCUAACUAAAUGACUCUUUAUUUUGUGAACGGUAACUAACUAAAUUUAACCAGGAGACAUUCGUAGCUUACGUCAAAAGGAUCAAUGUUGUAAUAUAAGUAAUUUACUUGCUCAAAAUAAGGAUCAAUUUAGCUACGAAAGCAGGGAGAUGAUCGAGCUCACGAUAGCAGAUUUUUUUAUCCUAUCGUCUUGCAAGGGAAACAAGCUACCAAUUGCUUGCAUCAUCUGAAGCCAUCCAACUAAUGGUUGAAUUUCUCAGUCAAGACUAUGCUCAAGGCAUCAGUGUGCAGGCCAGACUCGACAGCAUAGCCACACUACACAACCUCUCGCGCUGCCAUCAGAUUAUUCCGUCUCUGGUCUCUUCGGGCGUAGUGUUUUCAAUGCUAAAACUGCGGCAUGGAAGCUGUUUCUUUUUGAGACUGUUCCAAUUAUGGUUCGAGAAACAAGCAGUCAAGGAAUAAGUUGAUGGGGUGAGUACAACGGCAUUGAGACUGUUCCAAUUAUGCAGGAAGUUGAUGCAGAAGGAGAAAAAGUUGACGGGGUAAGUACAACGGCAUUGAGACUGGUAGAGGAGAAGCUUGCAAAGAUCAGCAGUGGACGAUAAUCUCGACCAAACUCUGAGCUUUGCCAAGCAGAUUAAGAUGUUGGAACAGCCGUUCAUCUUGUUUAUUGAACAAACGAGGAGGACAACAAUGCAGAAUCAACGCUUGAAUUCAAAGUCCCAACAGGCAAAUCGAAAAUAAUCACAAGAGCUUAGAAAAUACCACACCAACAUUUGGCAAGCAGUCUCACAACAAAUCCCACUAUCAAGAUAAAACCAUUCAACGGUGUGUUGGAACAACAGAUUUCAGUUGUGUAAGCAAUCAACAUAAAGGAACAGUGAAUACUUUUGUAACUAUAUAUGGAUUAGCUUCGGGAAUUCAUCAAACCCUCCGAAAAAGAACGUAUAGUGUAGCUACCAUAUUCUCCUUUCAUAUAAGAGCUUAUUUAAUUGACGUUAUAACACCUUUCUACAAAGAAAAAAAAGAAGAAAAUAGGGCCUCUACACCCAUGGCAAAACCCGACAUGGAUUAGAGUACGUUUCAGCCUGACCUUCUGUAAAAGCUAUAGGCCACAGCCACUGUUGCCACAGCUCCAACCACGGCAGCAGCUGCGAGAACAUCGCUUUGCUCCCAGUUCCCGAUCAAGCUUGACAGCUUCCCUAAGGCAUCCUUCCUGGCACACGACUCUCUGGUUUCUUUCACCUUCUUUUCCUCACUUCCAUUGUUCUGCUCUAAACUUACUUCUUUGCAGCAUGUAAAUCCAUUACUAUUAGCACCCUGGCAACAGCCUGAAAAGUUCUCAUUAUUCUGAAUCUGAUUGCCGUUUUCUUAGGGCUUCUCCUCCAUUUUCUUACUUUCUCCUCCAUUUGGAAGCUUCUGGUCAUUAAUUUUUUCAGCUUCAUCCGAAGAUGCUCCCAUUUGGCCCCUGUAAGGAAUGAAAUUGAAUUUCGAGUUCAGCCAUUUAAAGAUUCAACUCUAUGUUUCAUCAAUAGCAAUCGAGUAAGGACAUGUAUGAUCAAGCUUAAUAAACAAUUUGACAACAGUACCUACUUGACCCCGUCCCCCCUUCCCCAAAACCACCUUUGGUUUGGUUCUAUAAAAAAAAAAAAAUUGUUUGAUUUGGUUCACACGAGUUGUUUGAUUUGGUUCCUCAAUGUUAAUGUAACUCCAUAUCAAUAAUCUAUCUUCCAACACUAUAAGUAAUCAGCAAUAGGAAAAUAUGACAACAGAAGCUUCAGUUCCAGUGAACUUUUCAUCAGCAGACGGUUGGCAAAACCGAAAACACACAAUCCUCCAAAGUCGUUCUAUGAUCUCUCCCUUCCCAAUAUGCUGAUCAAGCAAUUCCGGCACAUCCUUAGGAGUGACGUAGCCAUACCUGCAAUUAUUAAUACCAUAAUAUUCAAAUUCCUUCAUCUAUCCCAAUACAAUAAAUUUUACAUUGUUAUGAUCCGGAUAUUACCAAUGGCCUGUUAUGCUUCCAUCUGAACCUGGGCUGUAGACAAUCAAGUUUCCAGCACACUUGUGGUCUCCAAUGUGAGAGCAAGCAGUAACAAAUACCUGAUUUGUCAAUCCUCGCAGCUCAGCCUCCUCUUUGAACUUAUCAAUGAGAAUAGGUCCACAAACUCCACAUUUUUAUCUCGACUUCCAUGUAGACCUGUAAACGGGUUAGGUUUAUUGGGUUUGGGUCGGGUUGAACCCGACCCGUUAAGUUAACGGGUCACCCGAACCCGACCCGUUAAGCUAACGGGUCACCCGAACCCGACCCGUUAAGCUAACGGGUCACCCGUUUCACCCGUUAACACCCGUUAACAAUUAUUAUUAUUUUUUUUUUGCAUAAAGUUUAUUUUUUGUUAUUAAAACUUUACUAAAAUUACUAAAAUAUCCUCAACUAACGGGUGCUAACGGGUGUUAACGGGUCUAACGGGUUGACCCAAAGUGACCCGUUAUUUAACGGGUGUUAACGGGUUCACCCGUUAGCGACCCGACCCGUUAAGCAUCCACCCAAAUACAAAUAUUAACGGGUUGGGUCGGGUUAACGGGUUGGGUCCAAAAUGCCAGGCCUACUUCCAUGUGCACAUACAAAUACAUGGGAGCCAGUCAACGCCUCUUGCACUACGGAAGCCCAUGGUUUGUCGUUCACAAGGACAUCAAUUGGUUAGAAACCAAGCCAUGUUACCGGCACACAGCCUCAGAGUAAACAAGGAAAAUUUCAAGGUAUCAACACUAAAACUAGUCCAAAACACACUAAAUUAGCUCAAUUCGAGACUUCGUAAAUUGAAAUGGGAAAAUCAUAAACUCUAUCUCUAGUUAGCAAUCAUCGAAAUCUCCUAGUCAAAUAAAGCAAAUCUGAAGAAUCAAAACACCACUCACUGGUUAAUUAUCUAAAUCCUAUAAAUUUCGGUUAAAAUUAAGCAACUACAGAACAAAAACAUCUUUACCUGUAUUUGAUCAUUUGUGGGAAAAUCAACACUUCGCCGUCGGAAAACUCAGUUCCUUCGCGUCCUUUAAUUACUGUCGGGUCUAUCAAAAACCAAGAAAAAAGUGAGUAAUGGAGUCAACUCAGCUCAACACCAGAACUCAGUAGCUCCAGUAAAUAAGAAACGGCAAGAAAAGCGAAACGCCGACGAGUUGAACUGCAAAACGGACCUUAACGGCGAUGUCGUUCUUGCGAGCUUUGAGAGCGGAGGCGAAGAACUUAGGGAGCAGAACGGACUCAGAGCCUUCGACGCACGACGGCCAGGCCUCGGGGGUCUUGUAGCAGAGUAAGACGUGGCGGUCGUACGCGUUGACAGUGCCAGCAAGUUUUUCCUUGCACAUCUCCAAUCUCUUGAAACCGAACCUCUCGUCUUCGGUGGCUGGAACGGCGACGUCGAGGUCAUCGGAGACCAUUGCUAGGGCUCGGAGAGGAGGGAGGGGUUUACCAGGGGUUGAAGUUGAAAACGAUGAGAGGGAAAAGAUGAGAGAGAAAGAGCGUUGUUGUUUGGUUGUUGUGUUGAUAUAACGAGGAGGCUGAGAAGGGAACCGCGGUGUCGGUGUGGGUGUAGGUGCGUGCGCAACACAUACGGCGCACGAUGGGGUUUCUGAAGAUCGGAGUCGGGACGCGUGGGAUUGGGCACGUGGGGUUUGAUUUGUAGUUCAUGUAUAUACCUCUUUUUUGAGAAUAAAGAUUUUUUUUGGAUCCUCUUUGUAGGGAUUUUAUAGUUUGUGUAUCGUAUUCAUUCAUUGUAAAUCAGACGGUUAGAAAUUACUUUAAAUCUAUAAAUUUAAAAUUAAACACAAAUAAUAUUUAAAGAAAAUUGACUGCAUAAUUAAUACGAUAAACGAACACAAUUAAAAAAUUCUCAGAAUCCUCGUAAAAAGAAUCCGAACUCUUUUGAUGUCUCCGAUCAUAUCGGACGGAAGCUAAAAGAUAAUUCGUGCACGCAAAAAUGGAAGGUCCUACAAACGGAGGAGGACCACUCUCUAUUCCCGGGAAGUGGGGUACAAGCGCGUAUGUAUAUAUCACCCAAUGGGGCACCAAUAUGUUGUACUAGCAGGGAACUGAAUGAGGUGAAAUUGGAAAAUCCCUUAAACUUGGUGAUGUGGCGACCUGUGAUUCGGCCUUCACAUUCUGUCAAGAAACAGGCCGGUCACUUUGUUGAUUAAGUCAAGCAGUCAGCCUUAGCCCGACGUGGACAAGUUCUGGAAGUCUUGUUUCGCUCAUUUAUUUAUUUCUUGUCAAUGACGUGUAAUAUUUGAUUUCAUUUGUUUUUUUGGUGGACUAAUAUUAAAUAUACUUUUGUCAAUGAAUUAAUGAUACAAUUUAGAACGGUGAUAUUCACACAUUUUGCACAUAUUCUUCAAUUUGAUAGUUGAAAAUUGAGAAGAAUGUGUGUGAAAUGUAAAAAGAACGUGUAAAUAGCAUAUCCCUACAAUUUAAUAUAAAGGAAUGUAGAUUUCAAACAACGAUUGUUUUUUAAGGUAACGCUUUUGUUCUUGAUUUUUCAUGUUUGAGCUUGAAAUGAACCGCUUUCAUAAUCUAUUGUAUUACUUUGUGUUCAGUUGAAUAAAGUAUCUUUUUCCAACGAAAAAUAAACGGAAUGGCAUUUAAAUAAGGAGUGUAGAGAGUGUAUGCGUAAGGAAAGAGGCAUGCAAAAUUCAUUUCAGCUCAUACAUCUUUGUGUUGCUUAUGUUGGUCUUUCAAUUAAUUAUGUUGAGAGUGAGGAAAUAAAUUGUACUUAGCAGUGUCAAAUUACAACCCUAAUCGAAAAACGUCUUGUUCGCCGGACCUACUCGACUGCUCCGAACAAUGUAAGGCCGAAAGGCGGACGAUACAUAAUCGGGUUUUUUCGAAGUAGGCAUUCAUAAACAUCAAGGAAGCAUACUUGGUAGAAAAUGAAAGAUCCUCAACUUCAUUCCUCAAAUUUUCAAUGCAAUUGAAUUUCCUCAAAUCUAAGGAACUACCAGAUUGUAAUGCUUGCAAUGGAAGGGAACCAUUGUGUACAUGUAGCAUCCACAUGAAUCAGUUGGAGGCUUGUUGGAGUUUUUAACGGAAUGACCAAAAUGAUGGAUGGUAGACAAUCUCAAGGACCACUUUUGAUUAUUUACCCUUCUAUUGAAUUUGCAAAGGGGAAGAAGUUUUAAAUCCAUUACAAAAGAGAUAAUUGCAGCAUGAUUGAUAACAUGCUCAUCACGUGAUUGGGUUCCUAAAAUUCCCAGGUUGUUGCAGGCUUCCUCGUCCUUGUAGAAUAUUUUGUUCAACAAUUCCAGAGAAAAACAAUUAUUCGAUUCGUUUCAGGUAACAGAUGAGUAGCUUAAUUCAAAACUUGUUUUCGUUCUAGAAGUUUAGAUUAUACAAGUGAAUGGUCAAUAUGAUAUACUCGAUAAAAUUACAUGUCUCCUUUUAAAUUUAAAGUUCAUUAUUUUGAAGUGAUUUUUGGAAUUUAAUUUUUCAAUUUAUUUGAUUGAGAGGUGAGGAAUUGGAGAUAAUUAAUUAUGUUUGGGGGUUAACUGGUAUCCUCUAGAAUAUGUUUUUUUUUUUAAUGAGGAAUCCUCUAGAAAAUGUUUAACUUUAUUUUAAAUUUUCAUGUGGUUUUGGCUUCAAUGAGGCAAUGGCAUAUGUGUAAAUAAACAAAAGUUUAAUUCUAACCUAAGGGGGCUGACGGAAGUCAGGGGCAUGGAUGGAAAAGGAGUUUCUUACUUUGCACGUGGGGCUUUAUUGUUUGGGUUAUUCCUCCUAGCUUUUGUCAUUUUCAUUAAAAUUUAAAUCUUUUUAUUAAGUAAAAUUAUUAAAUAGUUUUUUUAUUAAGAAAUUGUUAUUAGGAUUCUAAAAAUCUCAUUUAGCAUUCUAAAUUUUUUAUAAUUAGAAAAAAAAAUACACUUAUAAGAAGUGUAAAUGAGAUUUUUGAAAUGCUAAUAACAAUUCGAUUUUAUUAAUAAAAAGUUUGAAGAAGGCCUUUUCAUUAAAAUUCCCCCAAAAAAAAAGGAGUAUGCUUCUUCCUAAAACGCUUCUUUAGGCCAUAUAAACAAACAGUGAGACGUAAAAACAUGCCCCAACCUCAAAUAUUUCUCUCACAAACAAGGAGAGAAUUUUCAGUGUGACCGGUACACAAGGUGGUACACCACGUAUCACUAAACAAAUAAUAGGAUAUGUGUGCUAAAAAGUUAAUAACUUAAAAAAUAAAAUUUCCCACUAUUCUUAUUAAAACACGUGAUGUAUCACUUAUAUUCCCGUCACAACUAAAAAUUUCCCUACAAACAGAGAGACGUAAAAACAUGCUGCCAUGGGCUUCAGAGAGGAAAAAAGAUCAGGAAAAAAAAUGACCUGAUUGGGUAAGACUUGUACACAAGUUUGUAGUAAAUGUCUACGUACCUUCCUUACAAGUCUGUCUCUUUACUGUGCUUUCCUUCAAUUCACUGUUGUUUCUUCAUCGUCAAAGCUUUCAAUAUUAAGAUCAAACCUUAAUGUUUUGCAGACCUCAUCAGAUGAGUGAUCUCUUAACUCUGUACCAUUGUGGGUGUCGUCAUCAAACUCAUAUGGUAUAGUCUAAUAGUCUGCCUCAUCAGUAUCAUCAUCUCACUCUAAUGGUACACGCUCAUAGUUCACAUUUUUUAUUUCUGAAGGUAAACAAUGUUCCCAUCCUACAAAAUUCACUCCUGUUUUCUUCACCUUACGAACCUUGUCCCCCCUUUUCAGAUUGAGCUUCCUGUUUGAAAGACUUCCCAGCCAAAGAUAAUCUUCAUGGGAAUCAGUUAUGGUGGCAUCCAUUCACCAGAUGGAAAAAUAAGUUCUCUGGGUAACCACAUCGAGGCAUAGAGACCCACUACACUGGGAUGGUCCGAAGAAUAAACGAUGCACACAGCCAACCCUCCUAUAUAAUCAAAACUUGGCGGCACUUCAAAUUUGACAUUUUCUUCCUCUCUCACGACAUAGGUUAACGAUUAAGGAAUAACAUUUCAAGAGCGACAAAUUUCACCAAAUACAUCCCCCACCUUCCAUUUCUACAACACGGCGUGCAAAGUUUGUAUAAGCAAACAAUACGAGAAGGGCAGAGCGAGAGAGAGAGAGAGAGAGAGAGAGAGAGAGAGAGAGAGAGAGAGAGAGAGUAUCAUGCAACAAAACAUAAAAACUCAUCUGGGAGAAUUAUGACUCUUGUGAAUUGGUAGUAUUAUCGAUGCAUAUGUUAUAUGAUCUUCAAACUCGCUAUAGCGUGACUUUUUUUUUUUGUAUCUUUUUCAUCAACUUCAUUUGUUUUUUUUUUUUUUCAAGUAGAGCUGAUAAACUUAAAAUUUAUCCACAACCUAAAAAAUGGAAGAAAAAAAAAGAGGUGGAUGUACAAAAUCCUUGCUAUGCCCUCUAUAUUCAACAGAACAAUAAAUUGAGUUAACGGAUAUAAUUGAAGUACCAUAUUUGAUUGUGUUUGAGAACCAUAAUAAGGAAAAAAAAAAACUACUCUAGAAUGAAGGUAAAACUCGUGACAACAAUGGUGUACAUCUAAAAAAUAGUUCAAGCAGAUUAAGAUGUUAGCGCAUAGACAAAUAUCUCGUUUAUUGAACAAACGAUGAGGAUAACAAUGCCGUUUUCUCUCUUUCGAAAUUCAUAAACAACAAAAUUGAGAUUUGUUACACAAAAAUUACCAUAAAUUUUGACAGAAUUGGCGGUUGAAAUAUAAGUCCAGCAUCCAAAUCGAAAACAAUCAUAGGAGCUUAGAAAAUACCACAUCAACCUUUAGCAAGUAGUCUCAUAAGAAAUCCCAAUCAAGAUAAAACCAUUCAACAGUUUAUUAGACUUCUCCUUUCAUAUAAGAGCAUGGUUCGGAGGAUAAUUUAAUUGACCUCAUAACAUCUUUCUACAAAGAAAAAAUGAAAAAGAAAAUAGGGCCUCGACACCUGUGGCAAAACCCGACAUGGAUUAGAGUACUUUUCUGCCU